RNAcentral lists this long non-coding RNA (70949 nucleotides) under Physcomitrium patens. RNAcentral describes it as "long non-coding RNA (PPAT_LNC000163)". The record is from RNAcentral. Lineage: Eukaryota; Viridiplantae; Streptophyta; Bryopsida; Funariales; Funariaceae.
GGGAGAUUACUGCAGAAGAACUUCGAGCCUACGAUGGCACUGAUCCCAAUAAGCCUUUGUUGAUGGCCAUCAAAGCUCAGAUUUAUGAUGUUUCUCGGUCAAGGUAUGUGAGGUGAAAGGGGUGGAUCUAUUUUGUCAUUCUUAUCCAUUGUUUUGUGCUUUGUUAGUUGGACAUCCUUCUCUUCAAAGAUUCAUUGUUGUGAUUGUGGCUUGCUACUGGUGGUUACAACUAGUGUGCACUCAUUGGAUGUGAGAAGUGAUUGUGAACCUCAAAUGCUGUAACAGCAAAAGCAAUAUGCCUCCCUCGUAAAUGCAUUGGAAAGUUUCAAGAGGAGAUUUUAUCGAGGAUGGUAUUUACUUUUGUUUUCACAGUACUUGAUGUUGCUUUUGUAUCAUUGUUAGUAACAGUACAAUGAGUGUAUUCCCAAUUCAUGAACAAGCUACAUUCAGUUGGGAAGUGUUUGGUACUCUGAAGGGACGUACCUUCUUUCUUUGUUUAUCUAUUUCGUGAACUGUAACAUCAUAGGAAAAAUUGCACCCAAAUUGCAUGUGUGGACUCUGUAAGAUUAACGUAUUGAUUGUUCAUCAUCCUUAAAGGAGCUUUUGUUUAUCUCAUUAUAGUGGUUGCACUCACUGUGUUUCCUUCUUUUGGAAUACUAUUGUUACUUUCGGUUGAAUUUAUAGAUGAUUGUCGCAUGAGCAGAUCUGUAAUGGGAUACUUGCAGUCUCAAUCAACUGCUUGCCAUGGAAUUUUCCUCUCCACUUGAGCACGGAUCCAAUAAAACUGUUGGGUUUUACAUGCCUGGGUCUGUUCGAGUAGACUCUAGAAUCGUCUCUCUUCCGAGGUCUAUCGUUUGAGAGACCUAUCAUGUAACGGAUAAACUUCUGAGACUUACUAUGGAACGCUCCUGGAACAUCGUAACAGGGCAUUUUAUGGACCUGGCGGACCAUACGCACUCUUUGCUGGGAAAGACGCCAGCAGGGCUCUGGCCAAAAUGUCUUUUGAGGAGAAGGAUCUGACUGGCGACAUUGAAGGUUUGAGCCCUUAUGAAGCUGAAGCUUUGACCGAUUGGGAGUACAAGUUCAUGAGCAAGUAUCAGAAAGUGGGUACCGUCAAGCAAAUCCCUGUCUCAGACAAGAGUGAGAACGUUCCAACUACACCUACACCCGACGCUGAAUCGGAGACAUCAAAGGUCGAAUGAUGAAUGUAGAAUACUGUUGUUGGAGCCAGUGAAGUCGGAAAUCGCAGUAUGGAAAAUGCUUUUGUGUUUGUACAUGUUGUUGUACAGCGUCAAGAAAAGUUUCUUGUUUUACUGCAGGGUAUACGUGCAUAAUGUUUGUUCCAUCCCGGUAAAAUCAAACUGUCCUCAGGUUGAAGUGGAUGAUACUACUUAAUUCGUGUCCGACUUCCAUUUUCAGUAAGUUAUAGUGAUGCCUACGUGAGACACUCAAAUACCUAGCUGCUAGGAAUCCCCCAGUGUUCAUUUCAUUUUAUUUUUCAAAAAUAACUCAUAGGGCCGCUAAAUUCAAAAUAUGGGCUUCUCUGGAUUUUGUAUCAGUUCAUGCACACCUUGUUGCUGGUUCUUCCUAGGGCUAUUGAACUUGCCAUUCCCUUGCAACUGAUAUCUAUUUUCUGGAUCUGUCGUGCACAACCAUGUCGCUAGUGUGUAUAUAGUGUUGAACACAUUCUUAAGAUUCGUUGAGCAUAAUUGACAUGCAAUCUAAUUAUUCAUGAACAAUUUGCUAGGACUCUUUGUUAGUACUUAAGUGCAUACAUCUCAUAGUCUAAAAUAAUAAACAGUGUGCGAUAAAUCUUGGUUGCUAGAGGAUUAAAGAAAGACCAAAUAAUUGCAUGUUAAAAUUGUCAAUUGAGAAAAAAUUGUUUACAAUGCACAACCCUGCGCAUGGGUCAAAAAUUCAUUGCAGUAACACCGUCUGCUCAGGCGUUGUUACCUCCAAAUAAAUCUCCUAAGAUUGUCUCCAAAAUUUCGGGAGUAUACUUAAUGUACUUGUCUGAAUCACGGCCACGGCCUUCCAACAGAGACCCGAAGUGUCCCAGAAAGCUUCGGUACGCAGGUACAACCAUUUGUGUGACUGCUGCUAAGGUACCAUCCCUCAAAUCCUUUUCUGCUAUGAGCCACUUCGACUGGAUUUGAACAGUCUCGUCGAAUGCAGCGUUAAAUGCUCUCAAUUUUUGCCGCACCAGAUCACGUGAGCCGCUUUUACUUGAUGAGGAUCCCUUUAGUCCGUCACUGUUGAGAUGCUGGAGUACCUGCUGCCAUGCUUCUCGUUGGUACUUCAAUGCAUUUGUUGACACCUGUACGGUAUUGAAAAAUUGAAAUGAUACGACAUAUUGCGUUCAAACUAAACACCAGCACACUGCUAAGUAUGAAGCUGAAAACUAUACCUUGUAAGAUUUAUAAGAAGAUGCAAUCUUGGAUCUCAGCUACUGAGGCUAUAGACCGAUAGGUUUGUUACCCACUGUAGUUAAGAGGAGUUGCAACUUUCAAUAUUAACUUCUAUCAUUCACAUUAAUAAAUUGAAAGUGACCAGUUCAAGAGACAAUACUUACCUUGCGACCGACCUCAGAAAUCCAGUCUUCGCCUAACAAUGGCCCCAGAGCAUUGUUCUUCACACGAUUGCGAAUAUAGUACAUGUUGUUCAUCAGAAAAAUGUGACGUAGGGCAGGGUCGUGAAACUCCUUGGCGCGCGUCUCCACUAGUCCUUCAAGAGUAUUCAGAAUGAGAGCCAAUCCCUCAGGCAGCCCCUUAUCUUCAGCUCCCUCACCCUCCCAGCUUUGCGCAAUUCGUAGAACCUUGCUCAAUGUUAUGGGAAACAAAGCAAUCACAUAUCCCAGAUAAUUGACCACCCAACUGCAAAGUUGCAUGACCCUACCGUCCAGAGAGACCCCUUCUUUUUGCUCCUUUAUCCAGUCAUCAAUGUCCCAAAAUGUCUUUCCAGCAGCAUAGACAAUCUAUAAUCAUGGAACACGAAAAAAAUAAGUUAAAUCUCAGGCCUUCACGAAUUACAACUCAAAAUUAACAUGCACAUUUCGUGAAUCGUUUUUAAAAAACCCAAAUUAUUUCCCAACAUGAACGCAAAAUCAUCAAAAUUAGAAUUCUCGUCACGUAGGCGUACUUCAUAAUGCAGGAAAACUAUUUUUUUCCGAGUUAAUAAAGCGACGGUUAUUUGUGAGCUACAUUAGGUAGCACUAUGAUGAUUUAAGAUAGGGUAUGGAGUUAGUCAUAGAGUAUUAAGUACCUGUUUCAAAAGCUCUCGGUAACGUGAUCGGAUCUCACCACAAGCCUGCCCAUCGAAUACCUGAAUAACACUAUGUUCACACUUCUCCAUGCUUUCAUACAUUUCAAGCAGCUUGCAGAGCUUCUCGGGGGAACGUUCGCUUGCUGCAACACUUUCUCCAAAUCUCAGGAAUGUAUCCAUCUCAGGCUCAGCUAAGUCAUAUAAGAUUUCCACCCAGACUGCUUGCCCCACAUUUUUGAACACUUGACGAGCAAGGCGUCUUUCACCGGUAUACAGCAUCUUCACAAUAACCUCAAGUUGUUGGGCCCAUUUUUCCACCAUGUUUUGUAAAUCAUCCCAUGGAAUUGAGUUCACUGUUUUUGGGGUGACAUUGUUCAUGUAACGCACGUCCAGAGCCUGAAGCAGCAAAAAAGAAGAAACGCACAGCAGUCAGCAAUGAAGGCUUGAACACAAUAAUAAAGACCAAUACAUGACGGGUAAUUUCAAAUUACUCGAUAGAACAGAGAAGCUUCAGCUCUAAAGGCUACGAGGUGACUCAGACCUAAGUUUCAAGUAAGAUGCCUAGCAUGAAGAGUUGAAAUAAAUGUAAGAACUUGCAUCCAGUCAUAUUCGGGUUGCCAGUUGCAACAGAUACCUCGCGACAUUCACCAAUUGAACACUAAAACGUAGGAUUCGAAAAGUCUUAUUGUUACCACAAAGCUGUUGGAAAAGGCAAAUAGUUUAGGCAACAAGAACAUCAUCCAGUACCUAAGACCAACUGUUGCAAAGAGCACUUACUUUCAGGCUUUCUUCACAAAGUACAAGUCGAGUGUCUUGGUACGCAUCUACACAUCUUUGGUAAUGAACGUUGCCAGCUAAUUUUUCUAUAAUAGUUUGCAAUUUCUGCAGGACCUGCGGAGGGUAGCUGACCAGAUAGUCCAACUCAGAGGAAGGAGGAGAGUUUGAUUCUCGAGGUGCCAUUUGUUCGGGUAAUUCAAUAGGUUGACUGUGCUCACUUAUCAGGCGCUUAAAUUCUUUCUCAAGCUUGCCAAGUGCAGUGACUAAUAAUCCACCAUCGAGCUCAUGUGCUCCACCUGCAAACCAAAACGCGCUUCCUUCAGUUUAUCAAUUUCUGCAGUAGAAUCAACUGCCUUGAACAGAUCUUAUAAACAAGACCGAUUGACAAGCUGAGAACAGCAAGCAAGCUCACAAAGGUUAUCUUCAUCAAUCGAGUGCAUGUGAAACCAAUCCAUAAACGCUCUAGCGAAACGCAUUUAACGCUGAGAACACCAUGAUUGAACUUUUGAAAUUGAGGUUUUAGCACAUUUAGUUGUGGUUUCAACAAGUUGACAUAAUUUUGGAGAACUAUGUUUUAGAACGCCGUUAAUAGUCAUGAACCCUUUGCUAUAUUCCUAUAACAUUCAGCGCCUUGUGAAUACCUACCCGCCUGUUGAGACUGCAAAGUUGCAAGUGAUUCAUUGAGUCGCCGUAAGCGCACAGUGUCUGUAGAGCCUGUAUAGUUCAGGUAAGCGACAGCUUCUUGCAACCAAUUGAUGGCCACAAUCGAAUUGUGUUUCAAAUAAUCGACAGCUUCUUCCAGCUGUAUUAAUGCAGCCAAGUAACCAUCGAAAUCAUCUCUAGGCUCCUUCACCAAUCUUACCCUAAUCUUGCUCACCACAUCAAACAUUUUAAGAACCUGCAUCGCUGGUUCUAAGGUUUUAUUUAUUCUUUGAGUCAAACUCUCUGUGAUCUUGGAUUUCUCCUGCAGUGGCAACAGUGAUCUCCUUACAGGAGACAGACGAUCUUGAAACAUCUGCAGCCGCUUGUUGGCUUCAUUUAAUUGAUUUCCUAAUGCACGGGUCUUCUCUAAGGAUUGACAAAGUUCAUUUCGUGCAGCCCAAAGUUUUGCAAGUACAUCUGAUGGAGGCGAAAACGCUUUCACCGCCCAUGGCGCUGUCUCUCUUCCUGCACUCUCAGCACCCAUGAUGACUCUUCACUGAAUCACAAGAAUUCGCAGCUUCGAUUUCUUUCUCGCACAGGGCACAUAGUUCUACUAAAAAUCCCCACCAGAAAUCCGCUUUUCUCUCUCCUCCCACACAGCAAUAAUCUCGUCAAAAAUACAAAUUCACAAUUCUUGGACGUCUUCAAUAGAACAACUGCUAAUCCAGCAACACCUCAAAGAUAAUACUCCGAAAGAAUCGCCCUACGAUCUAAUCUGCCUCGAAGAGUCGCAAAUCGUGGAUUGUUUCCAAAUACGUGUUACAAUCUGCUUCUUCGAAGCUCAAGCUUGUCGUCUCUGAGCGAAGAAUAGGCAUGAAUGACUCUUAACCAAAUUGCUCCUGCACACAUUACCCCUGGAAACUAAAAGAAGAUGAUAGCCCUAUGAGCCUAUAUCAGUACGCCGAGCUUCGUGAUAGCACAAAUCCACCGAAUGCAGGUGAACCAAGACCCCUGUUUCAUAAGAAUCGGCGGUGUUCGGAUGUCACAAUGCCACAAGCAAGAACUACAUGUGAGGUCCCAACAGGCUUGCAGACAUUCUGUCUUCCAACGAAUAGGCACCACCUGAAGCCUGAACCUUGCAAUGCAAAGCUCAUUCUGGAAGAGGUGGUUUCGUGAUGCAAGGACAACCAGGAAAGCGAUCGCUAAGAGACAACCGUAAUCCAACUGCCAACUGUAAACCUGCGGACGACCUUCGGCAACAUGUCUCUUCGGCAACUGGACGGCACGGAUAAAUAGUAAUGAAGCCCUAGAUUACGCCAAAGGGACCCGCCAAGAAAUGCCUCGAGAUCGCACACGCGGUGUUUUGCCAGCUUAGUUGGCCAUGAAGUGUUAAGACAAAAGAGCUGCAAGGCAAUCAAGGCUCUAUCGCAACAAAACUGAAACCUCACAACAACAGAUCGACAACGAGUAUCUGUCUUCCUCUGAGUCGGGAAGACAACUUCCUCCCAUUAAAGACGGAUGAGAUCCUAAAGCUCCAGUGCUAAAAGGGGAGGAUAAAGGAAACCUUUCGAGUUUGAAUUGUGCAAUUUAACUUGCCUACAACACAUCCGGGAUUCAACGACCCCAAGAAAGUCGAAACCCCGAAGACGGCGGCAUCCUUUAUGGUAUUUACCACCCCAAGUCCUGGUCUCCACAGGACUCCUCCGAGUCGUUCCCGCGUAAACGACGACCGGAGGAGUAAGUCCAACAACGUGAAGUUUGAACAAGCGGACAAACGGAUGAGGAGCAAGGCUAGAAUAUCCACAGUAAUCCAAGGAAGCAGACUCCGCAGAGCCGCAGAAUUCAAACCUCCACUAAGCGUGCGUAGAAUUCUCCUGCCGGACGUCAGCACAUGAACGGAAGCUACCACAGGCCCCACCAUAGCCCAACCAUCGGCUAAUCUCAUCACCAAACCACGAUGUCGACGCCGAUGCCAUAGCCCCACACCCUGCCAGUAACAGGGGCAAAAACGAAACAGUCCACCACAUGAAACCACGCUCCUGUCCUAAAUAUCCACCACCAUGACAGCCUAACUUCCUGCGCUCCUUGCGCCGACGACAAAAUUCUCAAGCAACCACCGAGUGCACUCCCGGACGCGGAGUUUACACGUGCAAAAGAUUUACGCAGAGGGUUAUUGCGAUUACUUCGAAAACUGGAGCUCCCCUUCUACUGGCCCACUCGCUCUGAGCUCCUGCAGUGACUAUGACGAGUUAUGUCUACCAGCUCCACCACGACAUUGUUACUGAGUCUCACGCUACUGCACCUGUACGAGUUCCCGAGAUUCUGACACUAUUGGUUGGAAUCACGUGUGGUGAUGGCGAUGGCGAAGGCGAUGGUGGUAGGCUUGCAACAGAGAGCCUUGAGGGGAGGGAUCCGUAAAGCAAAGGGGGGGACCCGGUCGACGAAGACGACGACGCUCAGACUGGACGCGGGAUCUCGCGCCGCGCGGUCCAUCGCCCGUUUCGUACGCCGCCGCGUUGGCUUCGUUCGUCCGUUCGUUCGUUGGUCGUCGUCCUUGAGUUUCGUUCGUUCGUCCAUUCGUCUCUGCCGUCCCUAUCCUGACACGGUGGCAGGAUGCCCUCUGACAUGGCAUUUGAUGUGCGCCGCUGUCUUUUGUCAAUAUUGGCCAAACAAAACGGUUUUAGGAUUCUAUAGAAAUAACUCAAGGAUGGUGGCAAAUUUAUUUUAAAAUAGUAAUGUGUGUAGCAAUGCUGCAAUGGUUAUUAAAAAAAACAGUUAACUCAUCGAAACAUGAGAGGCAAAAUAUUGUACCACCUUUUUUUCUUCUUCUUUUGGAUCCAUUUGAUAUUUUUUAUUCAAAUAUGUGGACAAUAUAAUAGAUUUAGUCAAAUUUCACUAAGUAAAAUCAUGUAAAAUAUGUUAUUUUCUUUGAUAUGAUUAUUUUUUGUUUUUCUUUUGUUUGUUUUUUUUUUUUCAAAAAAUUAAAUUAAAUUAAAUGGCAUUGCAAGGGUGAAUCUUGAGUAAGAAUCUAUUAAGCAUGGAUGGGAUUUUAGAGUUGAGAUUCUAACUGCCAACCUUUUCAAAGUUGUGGUUUGUUCUUAGAUCUAACCUUGCCAUCACUUGAUAAUUUGAAAUCAUUUUGAAUCAAGACUAAUAUACUUAUGGUAUAUACUAGUUUUAAAAAAAACACAUCAUAUAUAUGUAUAUACACACAGAAAAAUGUCAUGUAAUUUAUAUUUUUGAAUAAUAAACAAAGAAACAAAUGGUUGGAAUUUAAUGUUGUUGAAUAAUAUAUAUAUAUAUAUAUAUAUAUAUAUAUAUAUAUAUAUUUCUAUUUUAAAUUUUUUAAAGUAAGGCAUCUAAUGCUAGCAUAUAUAUAGAGAGAAAAAAAAAAAGAGAGAAAUGUUAAAAUGACCCACCCAUUUACUAAAUUGAUCCACCCUAUUAAAACCAUCAUUAGAAAAAUGGAUCAUCUCUAGAAGCAUUAUUACAAUCAUGCCCUCAUCUCCACCCCUCUCGCUCCCAAAUCCUACUUCCUUCCCAUUCCCAGCCUUCUUCAUUCCAACCUCUUGUUCCCCUCCCUCUGUUCCCAAUUCUUAUUUUAAUUCCUUCAUUCUCCCAUGCUUCCAAUGAUAGAGUGGAGAAGUUUAGUAAAUACAUGGGUCAUUUUUAAUAUUUCUUUAUAUAUAUAUAUAGAUGAAAUUGAACAUAAUUUAUGUGAAAGUGUAUAUAUAUAUAUAUAUAUAUAUAUUGUUGAAGAUUUUUUUGAAGAAUACAAAAUAUUGCAACAAAAUAUUUCUUAUAUUUGAAUACAUAUAUAUAUAUACAUAAGAAAGAACCUUCUUUUAAAACCUUCUUUUUAAAACCUUCUUUUUAAACCACUACACACAAACACACAUGUGUUUUUAGACUCCAAUAUUAAAAAAUAUUCAUUGAUUUUAAAAAAAAAAUAUUUAAGUAAUUUUGGAGUAUUUUUUUGUAUUAUUAUUUUUCUCUUUUUUACACUAAUUGUAAUAAAUCUUAACACUAAGAGCUUAUUCUUUAAAGAAUAUAAUUUUUUUAUUGUUUUAAAUUUAAUUUUAAUAUUUUUUUACUCAAAAUUAAAAAAAAAAUCAAAGAAAAAUAUGAAGAUUGGAGAUUUUUAUAAUUUUUAUGGUCAAAAAAAUUAUUUUUUGAUCUUCGAAAUUUGUUUCUUAUGCUUUAAAUUCACAAUUCUUGAUUGUUUUAACAUAUCUUAUUUAUUAGAAUUUUGAUUUUAAAAAAUAUUUAAUUUAUUUCGAAUAUAUAUAUUUAUAAAAUUAUUAUAAAUAAUUAAAUUAAAGAAAAUAACUUUAUAUAUUAGUUGAAACUUAUAAGACCAAUUGAAACUAUAAAGUAGGUGCAACUGAUCCAUAAACUUAUAAUUAUAUAUUGUUGGUAUUUGUACAAGAAUAAAUGUAAUAAUCUAAUAUAUUAUUAUCUCAUUUAUGUUCACAAUUUGAACAAGUUGUAUCUUUAGGAUGAUUUUCUAUCUAUAUUAGAUUAUUAUUCACAAAGGAAUUUAUAAUCAAAGUUUUAUGUUUUUUGUGAAAAAACCAUAAACAUGAAGAAAUAUACAAUUAAAAAGUAUGCUUUAAAGGCAAGGAAUGAAUUUAGUUUUGUUUCAUUAGAAUCACCAAUAAAAUACAAUGAUAGUAAUAAUUUAGUAUGAAUUUAUUUGAUCUAGGUCAAAAAUCAAUGUUGGAAAAAUGCACAUAUUAAAAUUGAUACCAAAAAAUGGAAAAGAUAGCUCUUACAAUAGAAUAUAUUUGCACAAGAAUUGAAGUGAAUUAUUUAUUAGUAUAUUAAAGAAAAAAAGAAAAAAAGAAAUAUGAAUUUAGAUUCAAAACUCAAUUUUGAUCACAUUAUAUAAGAUGAAUCUAAUAGUUUGUCCAUUUGCCAUUAGCCCCAAUUACAACUCUAAUACACUUAUGCAUAUUUCCACAUAAUCUCUUGCAUUCAUCAAGAGUAAUUAAAGCCCAACAAUCUCUAAUACAUAUCCAUAAUUUUAUCAUUUUUUUUAAGAAGGAUCUAAUAUUGGUUUAAACAACAUUUGAGAAUUAUCCACAAAUAUUUGAUUGAUUUGAAGUCAAGCUAUUGUGCCGGCCACUUGAGAAGAAAAAAUAAUUGGUAAUUCAACCACAAAGUUACAAAUAUGGGCAUAUGCAAUGGAUUAUUAUUGUAUCGGAUAAUCACAUUUUCAAAAUUUUAAUUGAAUGCAUGCAAUGUAUGAAUCAACUCAUGUUCUAAAAUCUCAUUGUAACAAUGAUGACCUAAUGUUUCCUUGGUUUUGCACAUCAUGGCAAGGCCUUCCAUAACAAUACAAUUCUACAUCAUUACUCAUCUACUUCCAAACUUCACCAUCUCUUGUAUUCUUCUAAUACUCAAAGACUCUCCAUUACCAAUCCAAUAUUAGCUACAACCAUUAGAACAAAAUCGAUUCUUUUUUAUUUUAUUAGAGAACAUAUGUGCUAUAUCAUCAUUUGUCCAAUGUUCAUGAUGGUUAGCAAACUCUAAUCUUCACUUUAUAUGAUAGUGUGUGAACUUUGACUUCUUUUGCUUGAUAUAAUUUCCUUUUCAAAACAAAAUUAAACAUAAUAAUGUGGGCCUACUCUCAUAUAUAUAUAUAUAUAUAUAUAUAUAUUGUCUUAAAGCCAUCAAUAAUGAUUGCUUGCACACAUAAUUUUUGAUUUGCUACACUAAAUACAUGAUCUACCACCAACACUAAAAUUUAUACCAUUUAAUUCACCCAAAUGUUAUUUACAAAGGUGAUAAAACUUUUUAAUAUUUACAAAUAUUAUACAAUCUUUUUAGUACUCACCCUUGCUAGAGCACUAACUUCAAUUUGUUGUCUUUCAACAGAAGAUAUAUCUUUAUGAAGCCAUGAUAUGUGCUACUAGUGUGUGAAUUUAUAUAACUAGAGCAUAUUAUCUUACCCAUGCUCUCAUCCAAGCACAAAUAACCAUUUGUAAAUGAUCAAAUUACAUUGAUUUGCUACAAUCCAAUCCAAGUGUGAGCAAAACUAAGUUUGACAAAUAAGUGAUUUGAUCCCCAUGUUUCCCUCUCCCAUUUGCAUUGUUGGACCUGUACUUUGGUUACCACAUCAUUCACUUAUUUUAUAAGCAAAGUCACUUUCAAAUUUGAUUUUUACAGCAACACAUUAGUCAUAAUUUUUGGUUAAAAUCACGAUUAUUGAUUCCAUAUUCAGUUAUGACUAUCACUAUAUGCAAGUUAAAACAGACGUAUCAAAUGAUAUUCCAACACCAACUUUCUACCACUUGAUAUGGGAAGCACAGGAUAACCGCUCGUUAAUACAAACAGAAACCUGAGCUUGAGAAAUUGGGAAUUAAGGCACUACCCUUCUAGAGAAUAGGUGCACUGUACAGUUGCAGGUGGCUACAAUUGCUCGUCACCAAUCCAUGUUUCCUCUUCAUUUGUUUCGGCCACCUCCAAGUUUUCGUACUUGAUUUGGCCUCUGUUUCUGUACUUGAAAAAAUACCAGUAGACUAAACUUGCAAUAACUGCAAGCAAUACUACUACCCCCACUAAUAUUGCAAUCAUAGCACCCAUCUUAGCCCUAUCUGAAUGUAUCCAAGCCCUGUCAAAACACCACGCAGGGGAUGAUAAAUAAUAAUGCCACAAGAUGAAAAUUUGGAUUGACCCCACUGAAGCUUAGAAACAUAACUGAGUUAUUCUGGAAGCUACAAUAUAAUACGCAAGUCCACAAACUAUAGUGCACCUUAAAGAACUGUAAACAGACUUACCAUUUUGAGGGGGGGAGACCUUUCCAGCUUCUCAAGCGGUACGCACCAAAAAUCUCUGGCAGCUUAACUGUAUGGUCUUCUAACCGCGCUGCUAAUGCCUGCCAAAGUCGAAGGAUUUGUCUGAGAUAUAGAUACUACCAAUAACUGUGGCAAUAGCAACAAGAGCAACCAAUGCAGAAAGAAAAUAUGCACAGAGAAAAUGAACCUUGGCAGCAGAUGAUGAAAAAAGCUGAGAAGAUGCUGGAGAUAUAAUACAUCGCACAACUACGUGUUCUCCAUCUUCUUUAAUGUCUUCUAUGCUUAUCUGCGUAACACUUGAGGCAAAAUAUAAGUAUGAUAAAUAGACAUGAUCUCCUAUAUAAAACAAUGCUAUCAAAGGAUUCUAACAUUAUCCGCUUGGAGGGGACGAUAGCGUAGCACUGGCCACUAUGGCAAUUUCAGGAACAAUUCAGAUAAUCUGUCAUACAGCUGCUAUAGAACCACAAAUUGGAUAAGAGAAAGAGAUAAAAAAAUGGAUUACAACCUGUGACGAAGAAAUCGCAAGUUCAGAAGCCAUGCUUGAUUUAAACAGGAGAGUCUGAUUCAAAAUGGUGGUAAAAUUUCCAUCUAGUUCAAUUAGAAGUUCAAUGCUGCCAAAAUCUUGUUUAUCUGUGAAGAGAAAACAAAUAUGUGGCGAGAUAUGAAACUUAGAAUCCAGAGUGGUAAUCAACGAAUGAUUUAGUAUUUUUAUAAGAUGCUCCUCAUUGACACAAAUGACAAGCAUUGAGAGAAACGGUGCAUGACACAGCCAGACAAGCAUGAAAUUGUAUAAUAAGUUAAAUUCAGGUUCACCACCAUCAGGUAUUCCUCCUAGAGAGCUAAAAUGUCAAUGUACCAAUAUUACGUUUACAACGGUAAAUCUUAUUGACGAAUGUGUUACUUUUUCCGGCCAGAACUACUGUAAAUUGCUUUUUUCACUGUUUCACUACUCGUUCCACCCAGUGAUUCCAGUUCUUAAUCAUUCAUAACUAUCGACUCGCAUUCUCGUUUCGAAUUUAGCAGACUCGAGCAAUGACAUACAAUCAAGUCACUCAGACAAGAAAGCCUAUCCAAUCAUAGACACAUACCCUCUGGCAAGGAUGCCGGUGAUUCGAUAGGACUACUCUCAUUUACCGGAGGUGGUGGCGGUGCCAAUGGAGGUUCAGCAGGUAAAAUGCUCCACAAAUUUGUGCAAUUCGUCUUGAAAAAACCAAUCUGAUGAUUGGCCCUGUCAUACGUAACCAGCGUAUUCCUCACAACAAUCCCUGGAAAAUUCCAAGUUAUCUACUAUAACCAAGACGUUGCUAGUGAGCAUAUCAUUUACAAAGUACUCUUACAAAUAACUAUCAUUCGGAAGUCAGCGAAAACAAACUGUGCUUCCAGUCCAGUGUACGUGGUGGACAAAGUCACGAACAGAGCUGAGGUGGUACUACUUUUGUACUUACGUUUUGAAGGUCAUCAAAUUAUGAAGGACCUUCAUUUCUGUAGUCCACAAAAUUGUAGAGAUUGAUCAUUAUUAUUUCAAAUCAUAGUAUAAUACACAACACACCCAAAAACAAUUACCUCCAAGCAAUGUUGUAGCGUCUUGGUUCUUAAAGAAGCCCAAACAAUAUGCCCCUGGCACUUUGGUAUGCUGUGAUCACAAAAUAAUUUCAGAAAGCAGCAACAUGGAUGAUAAUAUGGAAUAACUGUAGCAAUACACAUAAAGAAUAAUUGUUUCUUUGAAAAUAUAAUUGCAUAAAGGAAGGUGAUCAUGUGAUCCUUAAGAUAAUGUGAAAUCAAAGAAAUAAAAGUUUGUUUUAAGGACAAAAUAAACAGAUAGAGAUUUACAAACUUUAAGUUAAACGACUCACCUUGAAUAGAUAGUUUUCUGGAGCCAAAAAUACUUUCUGGUUUCCCGAAAAUACAAAGUCCACUGGAGGAAAAUGCUUGCCCAGCGCUUUUGAAUCACUAUUGCAUAAACAUUCAUACAAUCAAUGCAGAUUCCUAACUACAAUUGGGAAGAAUAUAUUUUACAUGACACAGAAUCAGCAUCGUGCAGAUUUAAAGGUAGACUAAUCCAUGUUGAAUGUUACAACAUUCAUGCUCCAUGGGAAGGUACAAAGGAGGAACCAUACAUUUUUAAAACAUUAUGUUCACAAUUUGUGUUACAUAAAAAAAACAUGCAAAUUCUAAGUAUCUUGGAAAAGUAGUUAUUUGUGUCCAAGCGAGACAACACUCACCUUCCUGCUCCUGCGAAGCAAACAUCAGGGUAACUUGGAUCAGGACCAGGAACAGCUUGCAAUGACCCAAGUUGUUGAGUAAUCUGCAACCUCAAUGACCAUUUUAAAAUUUACAGUUAGCGUUAAGAAAACCAAACACGACGAUUUGAAUGCUAAAGUCACAGUCGAAUAGACAACUAUUUUAAAUAAUAAAAAAGGCGUAAAUAUGUUAGUUGUGGACGAGCAAAUUGGGAAUACCAGUUGAGUCACAUAGUACCUUGUAAGGUAAUAUAACAGUCUAAACAAAAAAUCUGAAAGAUUAGUCCACUUACAGCAUCUUUGAAAGCAUCAAAAGCUUUAUCUGGAAGAUAGGCGUAUGUUGUCCCACUGUCUAGAACUGUGCCAAGCCUUCCAUUGAAAACUUCACUAGGCACAUUCAAGCUGACUCCUUGCACCUGAAUCUCAGAUAACUCUAGGUUGUAGUAAUUGCUGCAUCCAGAACAUACAAGUCAGCAUUUUUCUGCAUGCCAGGUACAAAACAAUUCCGAUUAUUAAGUCUUUUUCACGCCAACAACAGAGAAAUUUUUAAGACAUAGAGAUAUUUUACGUACUCUGAUGCUCAAAGAAGAAUGAUUUCUCAGGUAAGAGGAGGGGUACAGGGAAUAGGCGUACCUACGAUUAGGAUCUGAUUUAGCAAAUACCAUAGCUGGAGGAGGUGGAAUUGCCCCUAACACCAUGGAACCACCACCCUCGUCCAUGCCACCAUAACAAAGUGAAAAAGAAUCCUCCAUGGCUCCAGUUCCUACAAGCUGGUCCACAAUACUAAGUGGACCACGUCCCAGCCCCAUGAUGCCAUCAGCAUGUUGUAGAUAGAGAUCUCCAGUCUCUGCAGUUUCACAUCCAAAUAAAAGAGGAUGAGGUUGCAGCCGACUGCCAUUGCCAAAACCUAGUAGGUCCUUUCCAAGAACUCCUUUGCUGGAGCUCAUUUCAGCAUAAACCCUCUCGUAUUUGCAUUGGUGAACCCUGGCAUCGCACAUUUUCGUUAUACAAUCUGGUGAAUUACAAGAGACCGUUUGAUACGAGCUUGAAUUGUCGGGCUUAAAUCGGGGGUCCUGUGCCACAUAUAACAAACAGAAGUCACCAAUGGUGUUCAAUAGCCCACCCAUGCGCUGUGUAACAAUAUGAAAUCCUACUGCGUCCCUUGUCUGGUCUCAAAACUGUACGCAGUUUCAUCGUCGUUCUAAUACGCCGUACGUACGACUUUUAGAUAAUUCAAAUACUGUUCAAUUGGGACACAAGUUAGUUAAUUCCACAGCAAGCAAGCAGAGCCUCUUCUGCAUAAUUAGAUAGGGAAGUGACGAAACAUGCCUGGUGAUGGCCACAAUGAGUGCAACUAGAGCAGGGCACGUAUGUAACAGUGCUUCCUGUGUCUACUAUAAGUGCAAACUCCUGCGCAGGUGUCCCAAUGAAAACUCUGCUUGUGUAGUAUCUGUACACAAAACCCACGAGAUAGUUAGAAACUUCCGAAAGAACACAUAUUCCUCUCCAUACUCACGUUGAGACCUCAGCCAUCGCGUACAGCAGAGGCAAAUAGAAACUAAAAUAUGGUGUUUAUGUGGUCAAUCACUGACUUGACAAAAGAUAUCGAUGAAAACAAUACUUAAACCAUAAUUUUUAACAUCUUUAGCCAGAAUUUCACAGCCAAAAGGUCUGAGAACUACCCCUGAGCUUUAAAUUCCAAAAUAAAAACACCCCUCUUGAAUCGAAGAAAUUCCAGAAUAUCCAAACCAUUAAUUCGCUACUUCGUCACUUUCUUCACGUAGAAAAUGAUGCUUUCAGUACAAACUCACAGAGCAUUUUAAGAAAUAAUAAAAAAAAAUCCGAGCUCAUCAUUAAAAAGAAAAAAAAGGUUAUAAAUUUCACCAUCAUUAAUUUUGCUAAAAGUUAUUGGCUUUCAACAAAUUUUCAGUAGGUGUAGCCCUAAGAAUCUACACACAAACCUCAGGUACCAAAAGAACACAAAACUCACAUUAUUGGAACUCCUGACGACAUUAACUUGAUCUCCAACCUAAGUGAUCAGUCCCCAAUCCAAAUGAGCCAUCGAACCAUCGGACUUAUGCAAAAGCAUCUGAACAACAAUACUACUCAGCUCCAGGAGAAUCAAACCCACAGUCAAGGCCUUGAAUGCAGGCCUUUGAAUACAAUAUCUAUCUCUAACAGUGUUAGAAUGACACACGACAAAGCACGGAAAAACUUACGACAAAGCUGGCGCUAAAUCUGCUCAAUUUUACACUUCCUAAACAUUACAGAACAACGAAUUCGAGCUGCAAAAGCGAUCCGUUGAAUCCAGCCCAAAUUUAGCAAAGCGUGACAAGAAUUGAAUUUUUCUCUUCCAAAAGCAAACUAAGCCCAAGAAUCACACAAUGUCCAAAAGCUCGCACCCUUUUGUAAGCAAAUCGUCAUGAAGGACCAUCCUAGCAUCCUCCACGAGGCCUCUCCCUCGCCGCUCAAAACGACGAUCCACGACAUGUCCAUGUCGUUUAGACUCCACGAGGGGAAGCACGAGUGCGGAGCCGCAGUUCGACUGGAUCCUGACCCCAUUCAAUCCAUUCCCAUUCUCAUUUUCACUAGGGUUCACAGAAACACCGAUCACCUCGCGACCUAAUUCACCCACUACCAGAAUGGUCAAAAAACCCACCAAACCCCAAAUAAAGUCACAAUGAAGCCCCAUUUCCCUCUGUCCGAGUCGCUACACGGGCGACACUGAUCCCUCCAAAUCACUCCUCCACUUCCAUUAAUUCUUACGACCUAGGGUUACCUGCUCUCGAGGUCCAAAACCACAAGCAAAAUUGGGGUACCGGUCUCACAGAGCCGCUAAAUUCGUGCAAUUUUUCUAGGACCAGUGCGAGCAGAAGUGAAAACUAAGAUUCAUAAGUUUGUGCAGCGCUUUGAUCAGGCGCAGAGUGGGAUUCCGAGCAUCAGAUCCAGCUCCACGAGACGCGAUCGGCGUCACCGCAAGCUUGCGAGUAAAGAAAACAUCAAUAAAAUACUACCUUCGGGGAGAGGGGAUGAUCUCGCGAGAAUGAAUUUGGACGCGGCAGUUCCUGUCACCGCGUCUAUGAUCCCGUGACCGUCAAAGAUGCGACGCAGAAUUGUCGCCUAGCCAUUGCUAUGCUGUGAGUUCCCCGCCCCCGGAAGCAGUUUCAUUAUCCUACUCCCCCCCCCCCCCCCCAAUUAUUAUUCUUCAAGCAUGUCGAGAGAAAAAUAGCAAAACCUUCAGCCAUGAUCCACAAAUUAAUCCUGAAUGCGUGUCGGAUAAUGAAGAAUAUAUCAUCGCUCCACCGUGACGAUCCUCAAACAUUCACGACCCGAAACGCCAGAAGAACCCAAUUUCGAUACUAAUUGCUUCGAUCCGAAGCGAACAAACAGAGGUGCUGAAGCCAUGUGCUCGAAUAAGAAGAAUGAGUAAUUUAGACGGUGUAAUGAAGAUGUUUUUAUCGGCGUUCUUGAGAUGGGUGAAUAAGUGUAGCUGUGGGAUCAUGCAACAAGCUCCCGGCACCAUAUUUUUAUCGUGCCUUGCAGCCUCUGAUCAUGCUCUAUUUCACCGACACUGGCCACGUUCUGGUGUCAAUAAUAAUAAUUGAGGUCACAGAAUAACAGUGAUACAAUUGUUCGAAAAUAAACCAUGGUUGGAGUGAAGAAGAAUGCUAAACCCUUAUUGUAAGAAAUAACAUUUGUCAUCAACCUUUUUUUUCUUCUUAUUUCUACGUAUCAAUCUCUACUUGUGUCCAUGAGCAAUAAGAACUCAUGUGUCGGUGACGGAAAUAUCAGCAUAAUCUUCACACAGGAACCGAAGCUGAUGACUCAAAAAAGAGUACCCUGAUGGACAUGGAUGAUGCACUUCCUUCUGAAAUGUGAAGUACUGGGCUCACUGAAUCGUACUCGUACCUAAAUUCUGAGAGUAGAUGAGAGUACAACAACAACAGCAACAACAACAAAGAUGGAAAGAUUUUUUUGUCAUGGUUUAGGGUUUAAGAGUGCCAUAAGCUUGUUUGUUGUUAACUGAUGCAGCAGCUAUUGCAAUGCUUUCUCACAUGAAGUGUUCUUCUUCACAAGACUUUGUUUUCAAAGGUGUUUGAGUAUUUGGAUGUUACUUUUACAAUUAGUAGAUUAGCACUUAAUAGAGAGGGUCUUCAAGUUUAAAAGCUGCAACUUUCAAAAUUAGUAAUCGGUUGAAAUUGAGAAUGAGUUUUUUUACUAGUUAAUUUUAUGAGUAGGAAUAUUACCCAAGAUAAAAUAGGAGAAAAACAUAUCAUAAGAUACAAUUCUUGCCUACAUAGUAUUCAUAUUAUUGUAACUUGGAAUUUGUGUUAGAUCCACUUCUUAAGCUAGUUUUAAAAAUAAAUAAAAUAAAAUAAAUAAAAUACUAAAGUUACUAAAUUUAUUUUUAUAUUUAUCAAGUUUUAGUUUUUGGUUUUUUUUUAAUAUUUUUUUAAUAUUGUCACAAUCAAGACAUAAAUCAACAUAUUUAAAAUUAAAUACAAAAAUAAUUUGGUUUAUAUGAUGGUAUCUUUCUACUUUAAACUACCUCUAAAAGCUUUAAAAUAACAAUUCUUUAUGCCAAAUUGACAACCUCUAUAAUGCUUUUGAACCAUGGUCUUUUCAAAGUAGGCUUCUAGAUUCAAAUACUUCUUGAGAAAAUCAAAUUGUACUUCACAACACUAAGUUAUUUAAAUAUUGUCUUAUUUGUUCAAUUAAUAGACAUGUCAUAAGUACUAUAAAUUUUUUAUUUUUGGAACUAUUGAAUUUUGAAAUGGUUGUCAAUGUUACAAAUAUCUUGUAUUGAAUGUAUUAAUAUGUGUACCAAAACAACAUAUCUUUUUGAUGCAUAUUUUUUUGUAUAUAAAAAUAAAACAAAAAAAUGUAUCAUUUGAAUAAUAUGUGUAUAAAGUAUCAAGGACAUGAAUCACAAACAAUGGAAAUGUCAAUACAUUCUUGUGUCACUUGAAAAGAAUAAAUAAUCAUUCAAAGAUAGUAUAAUAUUAAAACUAGAAUGACUAUUACCAAAGAUAAGAAGACUAAAAAAUCUUGAAACAAGAUUUAAAAUAACAAGGUAUUAACAAGAAUGAAGAAGGCUUUACUCUUGCAUAUAUAUAUAUAUAUAUAUAUAUAUAUAAGAGCUACAUAUCAAAGUUUUAUAAGACCUCUAAUAUGUAUCCAACUUGUAAAACACAUGUCUAAUAAGACAAGCUUCCUACAUGUGCACCACAUGGCCAACUUAUAUCACAAGUCACCAAUAUAUGCAAUACAUAGUCAAAUUAUUGGCCAAGUUUUCAAUCUAUCAAUCACAUACAAACACAUAUGAAGUCAAAUCCACAUCUAUGAAGCUUCUAAGAAGUUCAUCUAUUAGAUAUUAUCAAAUUUAUUUAUUUUUAUUUAUUUUGAUGUAAUUUCUUUAAUCUUAAUAACUACAUAUAUUUGUGAUAUUAUUCUUUUUUUUUUUAGAGAAAAGUUCCAUAAGAGGUGGUGAUUACAUAUUGAAGAAGUUCAAGUUGCAACGAACUAUAUUUACUAUAUACUUUGAUCUUUGUUUUCUUUUAAAGUAGUUUGACAUGUUUCUAAAACCAUUGAUAGUAUCUCAUAUUAAAACAAUAAGUCUACCAUGUUAUUUCAUCAUUGCUGACACCUUUGUAACUCCUAUCAAAUGAAAUUAGAAAAUACCAUCAAAUGUGAUUCUUACCUCCAAUGAUAUCACCAAACAUUGGAAAUCUUUCUUAAGGUCGUGAUAUCAAAUACAUUAUAUCUCACCAUUUAGUUAAAAAAAAACAUAUCGUUCUUGAGGAUCUUCAAUUUUGUUAUAUCAUCUUGAAGGUUGUAGCAAUUUCAAUGUAUCAUUUGCUAACUCAACAAACAAUAGUUUUUAAAUUGAAUCUACUAAUUAUUGAUUUUCUAUCAUCUUAGUGCCACAAAUAUACAUAUAUUACAAAUAAAGAUAGAAGAUAGGAUAUAAUUUUUAUCAAACUUUGUUUUCUUUAUAAUAAAGAAUUUCUUAAUUCUUCAUAUUAAUUUUGAAGGAUUUUGUAGAUGAAAAGCAUCAAAAUUCUAUGUUGUAUUUGUAAGAUUCUUGGCUAACUUCUAUGGGCAUUCACUGAUACCAUAUCUAUGCCAAUGCACAAGAUAUUUCAAUUUAUUUUGGCAUUUCCUUGAGUCUAAAACUUCUUUAACGUCAAACUCUUGAUUAUUCUCUACUUCUAUAGGAAGAUGAGGCAUUUGUCUUCUUUUUAAUAUAUCCAUUGUCUUAUUUGGAUGAUGAAAACAAAUAUGGAACAUAGAAUGGAUCUUUAUAGACUCCAAUAGGUAUAAUUAAUAUGCAAUUAGAUUGAUUUGUUCACAAAUAAGAAAUGGUUGAAGUCUAUAGUAAUCCAACUUGUCACAAGGGCAAUAAGUUUUAAUAUUAUGACAAAAUCUUGUCUAUAUUCAAUAUCUUGAAAAGAAUUAUUCAAAAUAUACAACAAAUAUGCAACAAAUAUGUAAUAAAUAUGCCAAUGUGUUAUUUAGGUUGUUCUUUAUAAUAGACAUUUGAAAUGAUCUUUUGUUGUUAUUGAACUUUACUUAAUUAUGACUUUAUUAUUGCAUGAAGCUUUAAAUAAAAAAUUAUCAAUUUUUUUGAUAUAUAAUUAUUGAUUUUUUAAGUCAAAAAUAUAAAAUUGUGAAUGAUAAUCAUAAUUAGAAUAAAAAUGUAUAUAUUGAGUAGAAGAAUGUAUUGCAUUAUUAUAGGCAAAUUUUGUUAGUAACAAAAGAAUUUUUCAAUCAUCUUAAUGGUAGUUGAUGGUACAUUUUAAAUAUUGUUCCAAAACUUAAUGCACUUGUUUUAUUUGUUUGCUAAUUUGAGGAUAGAAAGCCAAUAAUAGUUUUAUGUCUAUGUUUAACAUCUUAGAAAGAAUUCUCCAAAACCUUAAUACAAAUUAUAUUCAUUUAUUUGAUAUAAUAUUCCUUGAUAAUCCAUGAUAGCAAUAAAUGUUAUUGAAGAAAAUGUUAGUUGUUUCUUUACUUAUUAUUGUUUAUAUAAAUGGUAUAAAAUGUGACAUUUUAGUGAAAUGAUUUGUUAUUAUAAAUAUAGAGUUAUAUGAGCUUAAGAUUAAGAGAUCCAUGAUAAAACCUAAAGCAAUAGAAGAGCAUAGUUGUUAUAGUAUUGGUAAUGAAUGAAGAAGUUUAUAAGGUAAAUAAUAAGGAAUUUUCAAUCUUAAACAAAUAUUACAUAAUUAUACAAAGUCUUUAAUUACCCUCUACAUUUGAGGCCACUAAAUUUUUUUGAUAUUAACUCCAAGUUCUUAUCAUAUACAAAAUGUCUUGCAGUUGGAAAAAUGUGACAAGAUUGAAGAGCACAUAGUCGUACUUCACCUUCUAAAAUAUAUAAGUGUCUUUCAAAAUAGAGUUGAAUAUUUUUAAACUCAAACUUAGAAAUAUCAUGAAAUUUAGAAGGAUUAUUCUUAAUAUCAUGAACUAGAGGCUCUAAGAACAUAUUUGAUUUAACUUUCUUAAGAAAAGUUGAAUCAAUAGUGAAUAAUGAUUUUAAAAUUUAAAGAAGAAAAUUUUUUAGUUUCAAAAGAAUCAUUUGUUGUAAAUCAAAAGUUUUGUUUUUUAUUUUUUUUUUGUACAAGAUAAAGACAUCUAAAAAAAAAAUGUGACAAAGCUUGUUGUUUUCUUUGUCAAAAAGUCAUCUCAAAUUCAAAUCUUAACAAGGAAAUGUUGCAAUGGUCUUAGCAAUGAUUUAAAACACAUGCUAACAUGAAAUAUUUAAGGUUCUUGAGAUCUAUAUAUAAGGUGACUAGACUAAAAGUGUUUUCUAUACUAAAGUGCCAUUCUUGAAAUGAAUCCACAAUUACAAGAAGUUUUUUGUAAUAGAUAUUGGUUGCUAAAAAUUUUCUUGAAUAAAAAGCUAUUAGAUGAAUUUUAUCAUUUACUCUUGUUUGUAACAAUACGGCAUCUAAAAUAAAAUAUAAUUUAGAUAAGUAUUAAGUCUAAAUAAGUCAUAUUGUUUCUAAUAUUGUAUUAGAAAAAAUAAAAAUAAAUUAUAUUUUUAGAUAGUAAGGCUAAUAUUUUUUAAUUUUGUUAUUCUAUGAUACAACUCCUCUAACUAACUAACUAACUAACUAAAAUAAAUAAAUAAAUCUUAAAACCUUAACAUACAUUUCUAACAUAAUCUUAUGAUUUUUUAAAAUUUUUUUUCAUAAAAAUAUAAAUUUUAAUAAAAAAAAUGAACUUGUUUAUAUUUAUUUUAACACAAAAUUAUACAUAUUUUUAAAAUAAUUUUAUUUAAUAAAAAAAUCACCAUUUCAUAUACAAAAUAAUAUAAUUUUAUAUUAAAAUCUUUAAAUUUCUACUUUAUUAUUUAUAUCAUCUAAAAUUUAGCUUCACUCAAUCUAAGGAUUUAAAAUUAUAUAUAUAUAUAUAUAUAUAUAUAUAAUUACAUUAUUUAAGUAUUUUUAUAAUAAUUUAUUAUAAGACAUUCAUGUCUAAGUUUUUAUUAUGUAAGAUUAGGAUCCUAUAAAUAGUAGUUUGUAUUCUAUUUAUAGGAUCCUAAUCUUACAUAAUAGAACCAUAAAGGUUUGAAAUAUACCUUUAAAAAAAUAAUAAAUAAAAAAAAUUGCAAAUUCAAAAAGCAAAUAUAUUGCUACAAGAUGCUAAGAUGCCAAUUAAAUUCUAAGACGCUUAAGGAUUUAACUGGCAACUUCCUUUCAUGCAUGCCCAAAUAUUAGAUUUUGCAAUGACCCAAUUGUUUAAGAGAUUGAAUAGCAUCGAAUAAUACUGCCAAGUUCUUCACAAGGUUUGUUUUUGUUAAGAUUUCAUGUUCUCUUUUGAGGAAACAUGACACUCAGAUCUAGAUUCUCAACCCCGUUUUGCUGGAAGGCGAGCUAUGCUUCCAGUUUCUAGUCUGAACGACAAAGAGGACCUGAAUGAUGUGUGUGUGUGUUUUUAUUUUUAUAUUUAUUUUUUGGUUUUCUCCCACGGACAUGAAUUCACGAGGAAAGGCAGAAGCGGAUUGAGCUGGGGCCUCAAGACUGGGUUCCUCUUCGUCUCCGAAAUCUGGUUUCCACAAAGAGAGAAUGUGUCACAUCUAUUAUUCACUUGCUAUGAUUCUAUGAAGUUAGUACUCCAGGCACAAGUUGUGGGAACCACGCUGCGAACUACACUUCGAUGAUCUCACAACCCAGUUAUUAGAAGUGCCUCGAAACAAAUAAAUUGGUCUCUGGAAUGAACUCUUUUUCGUCGCAGGGGGGGUCAGUGUUCAAGCAAUUCCUCCAAUGUACCUGAGCAGACUUGAAUCACUUCUCUUGACUGUGCUUUUGUUUGUUCAUGCUCCCAAUGGUGUUUCUUUUUUUUCUUCUAGUUAUUUAUUUAUUUAUUUAUUUUUGUCUUUAUAAAAUUUUAUUUCUGCUUGGAACACUUACCGUGUAUUCGUGGUUGACAACUUGAGAAAUCGACCACUAUACUUCCAUCAAGAAACCAAUGAAUUUAAAAGCUUUUGAGUCUUAAAGAUACGAUGAUUUAUAAUUUUUUAAUAUAUCUCAUUUUAAAUUUAAAUUAUUAAUACUUUAUAAUAAAACUGAGAGAUUUUAAUUACUAUUUUUAAUAAUAUGUUUAUUGAUUUCUUUAUUUAUUUUAAUUUUAAAAUAGAAUUAUAAUUUUAUUUAGAGUUAUAAUAUAUUUUUUGAAAAUAUAGGUUGGUAAAUUUUUUUAAUUAAUUUUUUAAAUAGGAAUUUCGAAGAAAAAUUUAUAAUUUUAUAAUGUGAUGUACAAAAUAUUUUUUAUAUAAUGGAGUUGUUCUUUGAUGUUUUGAAUGUGCAUGAAAGAAGUGCAAUUUUUAUCUAUAUAAAAUGUAUUUUUACAUUGCAAAUGUAAGGAAGAGGAUAUAACUUAUCAAAUUUUUUUUUUUUAUUAAAAAUGUUAAUAUAGAAGGCUAAUAAGAUUAGACCCUUCUACUGUAAGACAUUAAGAACUUUGUCCUACAUUUUGUAAUAUAGAACACAACUUAACUUGUCCUACAUGUUCUAUAUUAAGUCUCAUAUAAGACACAAUAAAUUUGAAUGUAAAUAGAGGUAUAUAAGAGGGAUAGUUUUGCAUUUAAAGCUCAAUAACUAUGUUUUGUUGUCUUUAAAAUGCCAUUCUAUGACUAUCAAUUUAAAAGAUAUUUUCUCAUUCUCUUAAUAUAAAACAAGUUUUUUGUUGAUUUAUAAGCAAUUUUCUACAUCAGAAGACUAUGUCCUCAAUUACAAGGGCUUUCUAAUAAUUGUCAUGAAUAUUUUAUUUUUAUUUUUAUUUUUUAAAAUUAAAUUUUAAAAUAUUUUUUUAAUUCAAUUUAUUACAUAUUAUUAAUCUAUCAUAAAAUAUAAGCCAAUAAUAUAUAUAUGCAUAUAAAACAUGUUGUCAAUAUAAUUUUUCAAAUUAUAGUAUAAUUUCAUAGAUUUUUUACUAAAAUUAUCAAUAUAUAGUAAAAUUAAAAAAUAAUUUUUUUCAAAUAAAAAAUAAAAUAAAUUUGUCCUUAAUUUUUUAUGUCAUUUUUUAUAGUAAAUAAUAUCCAAAUUGUAUUUUUACGUUUGAACUUGUAUAUACAAAGUAAAUUAAUAUAAAAUAUCUAAUUAUUUAUUUUCUAUUUUUUAUAAAUUCUUUUGCUUAAGCAAUAUUUAUUUUGAGUGAAUAAAAUUAUUUAUAUUUUUUUACAGAGAAAUGUUAUUUUACUUAUAAUUAUACAUAAAUAAAUGUAAUAUGUAAGAAACAACAUAAUUAUAAGAAAUAUUUGUUAUUGCUUAAGUAUGUACGAUAUUGCUAUGAUUAUAGUAUUAUAUUUUUUUAUAAUACUAAAUAUUAUAUAUAUAAACCCCAAACCAUGUGAUGAUUAAUUUUGGAGGAUAAGGAACAAGAGAUGAGAUAGGGAACAAGGCAUAGGGGUUAAGCACAAAGAACAUGGGACAUAGAACAAGAAACAAAGGCAAGGAUAGAUAGAAUCAAUUAUGAGAUGGUAAUGUGGGGUGCAGCUUUGACAACUCCCUAUAUAUAUAUAUAUCAUUGAUUAAAUAAAUAUUAUACAAACAAUAUUGUUUGAGAAGCAUAAUUAGUAUUGAAAUAAUCAAAAGAAAUAAAUGAUACUACUUUUUAAAAUAUUUUUGUAAAAAAUGAUAAGAAUAUGUUUAUUACCCUUUUUCAUAAUUUAAAAUAAAAUUAAUAAUGAUAUAAUCUUUUGACUAAUAAAUUUAGAUGUUGCCAUCACUUGUAUAUUGAAGAUGUAACGUUACCAAACAUAUGUACUAUAAUUGUUUUACAUGUAAAUGUUUUCUAUUAAAAAUCCAAUAACUAAUUUAUUGAAAUUUUAUUACCUCAUUAGUUACAAAUCAGAUAAUAAAUAACACACAUAAAUCAUAAGAUGCAUAAGAUUUAACAUAAACUAAUAAAAAGUCAUACUUUAUAGAUUUACAUUAUGAUUUUGUACAACAUAACAAUUAUUAUAUAAGAUUUCCAUAAAAUAUAUUUUUAAUUUUUCCUUAUCCUCAAACAUUAUUUUAGUCUCUUCUACAAUCGUUUAACUCUACUAACUUCAUACAAUGUUUUUUUCAUUCGGAAGUCAAUCACAUUUCGAUGACCUAAUUAUUCACACCCUAACAAUAUACAAGUUACAUUGCAACUUAAAAAUGCAUUGAAACCACUCCCAACACUUUUGUCACUUGCUAUUCACAUUAGUUUGUUCUAUUUUGUGAAGAAAAUUUUGAACAUGAACACCAAAAUCAACGUGUUUUCAAAAGAAUAGAAAUGACAACUAAAGUAGACCUCGACAAAUACCUCAAGAUAUAAGAAUGCUGUUGGAGAAAAUCGAAGUUUCGACCAACAGCGAAGACUUCGUUGCGAAAAACUCUUGCGAGUGGUCGCCCCUGACAUUGUUUGAAGGAGACAGCGUGAGUAUAUAUAUACAUACCAGCCAACGCUUGAAAAUUCUCAAUUCGUCUACGGUUUCCUCAUGGAAUGCUACAGAUGAAGACAGCAUUGAUGAGUCUCUUCAUUUGAAGGGCUCCACGAAUGACACACAGAUCUACCGAAAGUUACCCUUCUUUCUCACACCGGGAAUUAGAACGAGAUACCUCGUCGAAUUCCUACAGCAACACGACUCUCACAAUCGCCACCGUACGAUUAUGCGUGUACACUUUCACCAUCAUUGACGCGACCAGCGGAUGAGGCUAAUGCAUCGACACGCGAGCAAGUCCAAAGCUCCGAGUUCCAACACCCUUUGCGAAACAGAGAACUUGAGGUCCAAACAGGGUGGCUCUCCCUCAUGUGGGUUCACUGCACCGCUGUAUAUUCAUCCAAUUCGCCGCAACCCAAAACAGUGUGGGCACCCUCACGCAGAGAGACCGCAACUUAUGUGUGAAUUGAUCGCUCACUCUCGCUUAAUUGGCCGCGGCCGGCACUCACGCCACAGAGCUCAAAAACAGGGGAGAUACCGACAGGGCGCACACAUUCAAAGGCGUCCACAGUUUUGCAGCGCAGAUGUGGCGACAGGGUCGGACAAGUGUGAUAAUGCGGAGACAACGAGGACACGGAGAAGGGAGGAGGCAAGGUCAGGGCGACAGGGCGAGGGCAACAUGCAGAGGCGUGGGAGAGGAGCCAGCCACGUGGGGAAAGCGGGCGGGGGGCAGCGAGAACUGCAAGUGGACAAGAGAGAGAUUUGUAUAUUAUAAUAACUGGGGGAAUUGACGGGCAGAGGGCAGGAAAUUACUUUCCUGCCCGCCGCCUGGUGCUGAGUGGGGAUUGAACGCGACUCUGAGGAUGGCAGGAUACUAUGGAACGGGGAUGGCGUCAGCGUCGGACGUCCAACGCCGCAGCCGCGCGUCAGAAGCAUUCACAUGGCUCGAUCCCCAGCCACAAAUUCUCUUGGGCGUCAUUCAUAGGCCAGCAACUCCCCCCCCCCUCUCUCGCUCUCUCUUCAUGGCUCUAGAUAUGGUCAUUUUUAUACCUCAUGCAUGCAUGCAUAUAUAUAUAUAUAUAUAUAUCUCUAAUUUAAAUAUUAAUUUGGAUUUUAAGGGGGGUUUUGUGUAUUUUAUUGCUUUAUUAUUUUUCUUACAAAUAAAAAGGAUAGAAGUAUAUAUUAAUCUGAGUUGAAUAAUUAAAUGGUGUCAUUUGUUCUUUAUGAUAUACCCAAGCACUAAUUCCAUUGUAUAUGUUACUCAUAGGGAGGAUGUAUAUGUUGCUCUCUUUCAUUUUAUAUAUAAUUUUUAUUUGUUUGUUUUUUAGAAACCAAAAGUCAUGUGCAUGCAAGAAACAAUCCAUUUGCAUUUGGUCAAGGUCAUAAUGAUUGAAUCAUUCCUAUUGUUCACUGCAUCAUGGACAAGAAUGAAUUUAGCAUGACAUGGUCUUUUCAUUUGUUUUUUUAGGUGUGCAUUUAUGCUGAUUAUUACAUUUUCUAUUUUUCUAUUUGUUACAAAGUAAAGUAUUGCCAAUUUCAUACAUCCCCACAUGCUUUGUUCAACAGUUGCAAUCAUUUGCUCACAACUGGGAAAAAUAAAUGUAUCUUUGUAAAAAGAAACAUUGAGCCAACAUUAAAAGCAUUCUAGUGUGUUUUGUAUCCAAACACAGUGCAAGAACUAUGGAGAUUUUUUUUUUAUUGCUAGCAAUAAUGAUCCAGAACAAAAAUGCCUCAACAAAUGUCACAUUACUGAACGCAAAAUGGAAAAUGUGUAUAUCUAUGGGAAUAUUAAAUAGACCCACCUUUAAUGAAGAAUAUGGUAAUCAUGAUGAAUGUGAUUGGUUGCAGAUCCAAUAGUAGAGAAACGAAUCUAGAAGUGUAUAUAUAUAUAUAUAUAUAUGUUCCUUUUUUCUUAAUAUGAUGGUUUGGAUGAGUGGAUAAAUUUAGUAUAAAUUUAGUAGAAAACUUGGGUCUAUUUGACAUUCUCCAGAUAAAUAUAUAUAUAUAUAUAUAUAAGAAAAUAGUAAGAUUCUUUAUCAACCUUGGUCUUACCAAACCAAGAUUUUUACGCUCCCAAGGUAUCAAGUUUCACACUAUCAAGUUAACUCACUAGCAUGUUAACUCACUACCCAAAAUUCCAUUGGGAGCACCAACUCAAGUUUGAAUUACUCACUAGUGUUUAAGGAAAUAUCAAAAUCUGUUCUAUAAGUUUAUACCUAUUGAAUAUCUACAUUUAUUUUUUUAUCUUUGAAAAAAAAGAAAAAAAGAAAAAGAGACUUUAUCUUGAUAUUUCAGCAAAACAUGUAGUUGUAAAAAUGUAACGGUGUAAAGUGGCAACCUCAAAAGAACAAAGAAUGAUCUUUAGUAAGUGACAACAAUGCUUUUUUUAUGCUGUGGACAAGUGCAUAGCACUAUUCGUAUGAAAAUCAGAAAGCUCAUUUCUAAAAUCUAGCUUAAAUCAUUUAAAAUAUUAUAUCACUAAUGCAUUAUCCCCUCCCCCCUUCAUGUUUGAAUAUCUUUUCCUUCCAAGGUUGUAAUAUUUCAUUAAAAUUGUAUGCAAUAAGAUCCAUCUGGAAUAUAAACUGGAAAAAACAGAGUUUCAGUUAUGAACCAGUUGAUGUUUUUAGUUUUUUAUUUUUAUUUUUAUUUUAAAUUCAACUUAAAUGGAAUUUCUUGUAGGAUAUUUAAAAUUUACAAAAAAUGCUUUAGUAAUCAAUAUGGUUUAUUGAUAUCGCCUAUUAUUAUUAUUAUUAUUAUUAUUUCAUGUUUUUUGCUGGAUGUCACCGUAUGCCUAAAGAACUCAAUGCCACCCACAUUGACUGUAUGUUUUUGGAUUAAAUUCCAGUUUUCAUUACGAACAGAUCAUAUUUAGCUUAAAAAUAAGCCGAAUUCACCUUAUAACCUAAUCUAUCUAAAAUCAAACAAACACAAGAACUUUAUCCACGGUUAGUGCCCGAGACUCUAGUUUUCAUCCACAUUUCAUCCAGAACAAACAUAAUGCAGCUUGGAUGAAUGUCAUUGGCAAGAGAAUCGUGAACUUAAAAAGUUGAAGAGGGAAUGGGGGAUGAAAGGCUGGAAUGCAUGGUCCGCUUGAACUGCAGGUGUGCACCAGAGACACGAACGGGGCAGCGGGCAGCAGAGAAGACGGAGAAAAGUGGAAAGGAAGAGAAGAGAGAGAAGAGGGGAUUUCUCUCUCUGUCUGUCUUCCCUGGCAGAGCAGAGCUCCUUCUUCAGGGCUUUACCCGGGCAGGAAAAGAUGGCUGAAAUCCAUUGGAAGCUCCCCAUUGGCUCCGAACCUCCGAGCCUCACCAAGCCUAACUCCGAACUACCACCCUGGGCGGAGGAAGGGCGGGGCUGAAGCAGAGAGUGAGAGAUAUUUCCGAACCCACUCGUGGCCAGAAUCCAUCCCCCCGAUCGUUCGAGUGGUGGCUCAGCGCCAAACGCCUCUGUCCAGUCCCUUUCUUCGCUCGCGUCCACACCUCGUCCCCUUCUCGUCCUUCCUCCGUCGCCUAUAUUGACGAUCUCCGCCUGAACUUCGUCGUGUUCGUCGUGUUCGUCUUCCCCCACCUUCUCCCCCGCCCCCGUUGUCACUCGUAACGCCUCCGGAACUCACACAUUUCCUGACAGCGCGCUACAAUUAUCCUGGCCACAUCUUGGUUGCUACGACAAGGAUCGUCGGAGUCGCCACACCAACAAGCGGUUCAUGUUUGUAGGGCUGCAGUUUAUUUAUUUUUUGGUUUACGUCAGUGAAGAAACUGCUUGCGCGUUGUCGUUUUCGUCUCUAUAAAAGGGAGUCGGGUUUGCUGUUGGAAAAGAAAAAACGAAAGAAAAACAAACACAAAACUCACGGUCGCUAGCGUUGGUUGAGAGAUCAGCGUGUAGAGUCGUUGUAGUUUUUUUUUUUUUUUUUUUUUUUUUUUUUUUUUUUCGAGUUAGAUCGCAGGAAAUGUGGGUGGUGUAGUGGGUGUUGAAGUUUGUGGGAGUUUCGGUUGAGUGGCGGUGGUUUUCUUUUCUGGAGGGUAUUUGAGAGCUGUUGGUUUGGUACUUUGAGGAGGUUGGGAUCAUUUCGUGGUUUUGACUGAAAAUUAAGCGCUUUUGCAUUUGGAGUGGUGGAAAAUUGCUCCACCGGACCAGAGUUGUGGUCAGGAGUCACAUUGUGAAAUGGUAGUAUAUACCUCUUGUUUGUUUUGUUUUAUUAUUUUUUCUCCCACAGUGUUGUUGAUCGAUACUAUGUCCUGACGAUUGUCCAACGCCAGGUUAAGUAUCGUUUUGUGGUCAAGAACGAGUUGGUGUGAGUGGAGACGAUUUCGUAAUCCCGUCAUAGGGCAGUGAAGCGUUUUAUUUGGUAGGGUUUUUCUUUGUUGUAGCGAACACGCUCUGAAUGGACAAGAAAAAAGUGGUGGAAGGUGGCGGAUGAGGAGACUCUCUACUUAGGCCGUGGUUUCCUACUAUCGGCAAGGGGCUGUUCUUUUAUCCUCUGUUUAUAUUAUAUUACACUUUUUAUUUUACAAGUUUAGCCUCCGUGGUAUUUGCGGCGAUUGUUUGCUUCGCGAACUUUCGGUUUGUAGUGGCAGAAGAGAGUGCAACAAAUCGAGCACGUGAGUGAAAUACUGCUGAGAAAUGGCGAAGUCCAACAGAGUAUGCGAGUUGUGUGACGGCGUAGCGGAUUUAUAUUGUGCUGCUGACGAAGCUCACAUUUGCUGGACUUGCGAUGCUAAAGUUCACAGCGCCAACUUCUUAGUGGCCAGACACACUCGGUUGGUUCUGUGUGAAAUUUGUGGAAUACAAACUCCAUGGAAAGCCUCAGGGGGGAAUCCUACGCCACUCACAGGCCUUUGCGCAGAGUGUUCUCAGGGGGAAUCGCAGGAUGAAUGCACUACUCACAGCCAUGGAGGUGUAAUUGACACUUCGAGAGUCACUGUUAGAGCUCAUCCUAUUGCAGGCUGCGCAGACUCGGGUUAUGAAAGCGGGUGUUCAUCUAGCAAACCAGAGAGCUGUGAGAGUGCCGUGAUAGUGGAAAUGGAUUUGGUGCAGACUUCGCCCUGCGAAAGUAGUAUUUCUCAACUUAGCAGUGAAGACAUGGAAGGCAUUACUGUAGACAGCAGGGGUGCUCAAGGGAGUGUAUCCUUAGGUAUCCCAAAGUCGCUUAAGAGGAAGAGGUCGCUGGAUUGCUUCUUGCCUGUGUCUGUUCCACUAAGCAAGCAGAUUGUGGUGAGUACGCUGGAAGAUGAUAUGAGAAGCGUUGCGCAUGGACAGGUAACUUCUACUUCAAGUCUUUCCCACUAAUCAUAGCUUGACCAUAUCCAGAUAACAGAGAUGGAAGUGUACGAUUUCACCCCUACUGAGUUUAUCCGCUGCCUACCCAAAAAUCCUAAAACCAUGUUUAUGUUUGUGUUAGCUUCUGUGCUCUGAUUUUUGGUUGAAACUCGUAACAAACUUGACAAAUCGUGAGUGAAAGCAGUUGAAAACCUUUUAUUGCAGUUUUUGUAAUUAAAUAUUUUGCCGACAAGUUUCUCGUGUGAGCAAGGUCAAUGUCCUGAAAGUCCUUUUGUUGUCUUUUCAGUGUGAGUGUGAUAGCACUGCCUCUUUUUCUUCAAGUACGCGAAGAGUUUCUCAUGCCAACCAGGAUCCCAGUUUUGAAGCAAGGGAUUGGAAUAGACCCCAAUCCCAAGAAGUUGAGUCUAGUAACAGAGAUCUCACCAAUCUCUUACUUUCAUCAGCCAAGCGACAGCGGGUGGACAGAACACAGAUAAGGGCAUCUUUCACCCGCACGCAACAGUCGGCAGUUUUCUCGACAUCCAGGGUGAUGAGAAUGUUGGCAAAAUGGCACUGGGAUUUGCAUCUAAGCAGCCCUGGAACUGUCCCUCUUGCGUUGCGCAUGUUUCGCAAGAUAUCCCGCGCAAUGGCUCCAACCGUCCUCUCAAACUCAGGCAUGCGUAUCACCCUGGCAGCUUGCCUCCAUUUAGCCUCGAGUUUAGAUGAAGCCCAAAUUACUGUCCCCAGAACAAGCGAAGUUGCAGGUUGCGCUGGAGUGUCUACGAGAAAAUUGGCUACAGCGGAAAUUCAUCUGCUGGCGCUUCUAGGAUGGAGAAGUUUUCCAGUACGGGCCGGCUCCCGUACGUAAAUUGCAGAGACGUUCGGAAUAUAAACUGCAUAGUCUUAUACACUUUUGAUUGGCAUCUUCAGUACAUGUCUGAAGCUGUAGCGUCUGUAAAGCCUUGGUUUGAAUUCCCUGUGAGGGCUGUAGUUUGAGUGCAAAGAUAGGGAUCUUGUCACCCCAGCUCCUGCAACCAUGAAAGUACAAGACGCAAGAUACAAACUUCUUGUCUUGCAGGAGGAUUUAACAUAGAAAUCGGUUGUCAGGUAACGGUACUCGUUAUCCAGGGAGGUUUGCCAUCGAAAGCUCUUCUAUAUCCUAGGGAUUCCCGGUUAAAUAUGCAGGUGUAGAAUAAAUCUGAAUUGUGCACUGCUCAUGGUUGAAGGUUCGUCGAUAUGAGAAUUGGUUCUGGUUUCAAACUGGGGGCGUUACCAGACAGGCAGGGUAGAUAUGGUACGUCCAUAAGAAGUUAGUGUACAUAAGUGGCAUAUAACAUCCGAAGGGUUCACUUUUUCAACAGUGUAACCGCCUUUUCUAGCAUAGGUGGAAUACUCGACAGUUUUCUUUAGCUCCUGGUGGUCGAUCUAACUUGCUUCAUGGCAUUCACUCAUUUCCAAACUUGAGGUUGAUUGUUUGUCGCUGGACGUGUGUGCCCACUUUGUUCGUCGUUGCAAGUCAAGUGUCUACUCUCCAUCGCAACACUCUUUCUCUGACCCAGGUAAUUCAACUCUUCAGCAUUUGCCGCUGAAUACACCACCAUUAUCUCAUACUCUUCACUGUACUGCGGACAGACGAGUCCGUCUCAGUUAAGCAGAUCAUAUGUGUGGCUUACAACAACUUUGUUGCUCUAUACAUUAUGCUGAUCCUGCAAAGUAUUUUGCUGAGGUUGCUGGAGAUAGCUAUUGUUCGACUUCAUGGUAGCAUCUCAUCUUGAGAAUUCAAGAGAAAGUCUGGAUCCAAGUGCUGUGAUUAUCAAUCUAGGUGAACUAUCAAAAUUGGAGGUGAGAAACUGGAGUGUCAAGCUCAUGCAAUGUCACACCCUCUGCAUGUGCACUAAUGGGGGAGGACAUCUCCCCUUUCCUUGUCAGAAUCCGCCUUCAAACUGCAGUAGAACUGGGCAAUUAUGCAGUGUGGGUAAAGAGGUCUUUACAGCAGGCAUCUCAGACAACAUUAUUGUAGAACAAAAGAUCUUUUGUACGAAACUCAAAUAUCUCCCAGCAAUGCAAGACUUCUAAAUAUCCUAGCUAAUCCCUCUUUAAUCAUUUAUAUAUAUACAUAUACUGAAACAAAAGUUACUCAUCCUAUGCUGUAAUUUUUUUUGUCAAAAGUAAUAUUGUAUAUACUUGUAAUUACUAUACAUGUAUACUCAUUCCAGAUUAGUUAAUUGUUUUCAUUUGGAACCUCAAAACAAUAAACAAUUUAGUUAACUUUAAUUUGAUGUUUUAACAAAAAAAAAAAAAAAAUAUAUAUAUAUAUAUAUAUAUAUAUAGGAGAAUGUUAAAUAGACCCAAGUUUUUACUAAAUUGACCUACCAUCAUAUAAAAAAAUAAUGACAUCUAUAUUCAUUUCCCUGCUAUUGGAUAUACAACCGAUAAAAACCAACCACAUUCAUCAUGAUUACCAUAUUCUGUCAAAAGUGAGUCUAUUUUGUAAAAAUAUGGGUCUAUUCAACAUUCCCUUCUAUAUAUGUAUAUAUUACUACUACCACACCUUUAAUACUGUGCUACUUUUCAAAACCCUAAACCUUUUAUUACCCUAAAGCAAAUCACAUUGAGGUUCUACCAUGAGAAUUUUUUUUGUCUCCACGACUAACCAUGUUAACUUGUGGCCCCAGCGGGCUCAAAGCAAAGAACACGAAUUUCAAAAAUUCAGAUUUAGAUAUUUAAAUUCAAAAAUCGGCACGGAGACGGGAAUUACAAAGACGGGCCAGACCCAAGGCGGGGCAAAAAUCACACGAUAAGUGUAGGAAAAUUUUGUUAUAUACGGAGCCGCGGAGCUUUGUUUAGUAGCAUUUCUGUAGCCCACUCGCUCGGAGCUGGUCACGGACCUCAACUCUCUGGAGCCUCUCUGCGCUCUGUGUGUGUUCCUCUCGAGGCGCACGGGGAUUGAGCGAGGAAUCGCUAAUCCUUGGCUACAGUGAUGACUUGUUUCCCGAUCUUCGAGCCGAUCAUCAUCCUGCAGAAUGCGUUGGGAGCGUUGUCCAAGCCCUCGGCGAAGUCUUCGAAGUACACCAGCUUGUCAGCCUUAAUGAGCUUCGACAUGUGGUCCAUGAACUUGGGCUCUAAGUGAAGGUAAUCCGACUGCAGAAACCCUUGUAGCGUUACCCGUUUGUUGAUUAUCCUCUUGAGAUUGUAGACGCCGUCCUGUCCGCCUUGAUCGUACUGCGAGAUCAAUCCGCAUACUGCUACCCGCCCGAAAUUGUUCAUGUUGUCAAGGACCGCAUCUAACGUCUUGCCCCCCACAUUCUCGAAGUACUUGUCGACGCCUUGAGGACAGUACCUGCAUCAUCGCACAACAAACGUGUAUGUAGGAAUGAGAGGGUUUCCAAGACAGACGACACUGUUUGUACGGAGGCAGUUAUUUAUAGUGCUGUUGCAAAGGGUGUCAGGGUAGUACUUUGCUACAGCAGCAACGAGAUCCGGUUCCUCUUUAUAGUUGAAUGCGGCAUUGUAUCCGAGCUUGUUCGUGAGCAAGUCAAUCUGAAACGGAUUUGCCAAGGGUUAGCUCAUUCAGCUUAUGACAGUCUUGGUCUUCAAUGCCCAAGUGUGCCUACCAAUAUGCAUUCUAGAACAGACCCGAAAGUAACCCUGACUACAGUGGCAGUUCAAAAGGGUUGUCCUCGAUGAUUGCAUCACCUUUUCCUGUGAUCCUGCGCUGCCAACCACGUACAAGCCCGCGUCUCUGGCGAGUUGUCCCACCAGUUGACCCACUGCUCCCGAUGCUGCAGAUACGAAGAGUGUCUCUCCCUUUUUGGGCUUCAACACUUCAAAGAACCCAACGUAAGCUGUAAAGCCAGCCAUCCCUGGAACAUCAGCAAACGCUCACCAUGAAUACCCCUCAUAGAUUGUAAAUUAGUACACACAAUUUCUUACACAAAUUCAUUUCCAAGAAUUGUGAUGAGGUGAGGAAGCAGAUGUGUGAGCCACCACUGACUGCUAUCGAUUAACUUACCAAGGGCACCUGCGUGGUAAGAAAGUGGGGCGAGGGCAGGAUCGAUGACUUUGAGACGCUGACCUCUAGGAAUGACGCUAUACUCUUCCCAUCUUGUCCAGGAGGAAACACAGUCCCCCACUUUGAAGCUUGAAUUGUUGGAUAAAACCACUUUGCUCACACCGUACCCAUCCAAAACCUGACAUACCCACAGAUGGAGCAGCCAACAAUUGAAUUUCAUUACAGUAACAGACAUCACCAGAAGCUUACUUGACAAGUGUCUGUAGUGAUGCACAACCUACUUGACAAAUGAUUCGGUUACGUUCAAAUCAGAGGGAAUGGGAUUAUGGACCUGUCCUUCUUGGUAAGGAGGGAUAUACGAAUUGGUUUCCCCUCUCAUCCGGUGUCGCAUGUACGGGUCGCAAGAUAGGUAAAGAUUUUUCACAAGAACAUCGUUAUUGUCAUUCAAUUCCAGGGUGAUCUCGUUCGAAGAGAUUUGGAAGUCCGAUUCUUCCAAUUUUCCCAAGACAUAAUGCUUGAGCUUGAUCUGCUUGUUCCGCACUUGAUUGCUCGUCAUGGUCAUCACCUUCUUAUAGAACCUUUAUCAGCCCCAAACCUUCAGACAUUGGCAUCAUUAGACGAUUCUUACAAGCUGCGUGAUGUCUCCUCAAUCAUGCCAUCCACAACAUGCAAUUUUUUCGUUUGAGGUCAAGAUUCUUGGUGAGAGAGCAAAACAUGAACUUGGUCAUACCCUACAUGCUACAAAUUGAACGUGGCGUCAACUCACCUGAACCGAGUAUAUAGGAAUGCUCCAGGAAGAGGCGCAGACUGCUCUUUCAGCCAAAUUCAACAAAGCAGUUGUAACAAAUUGCUAUCUAUCCUACAAUCACGAGAAAAAACUUCGUUGAAAUGUCCGUCGUCGCCAAGCGUCAUCAUUCUCAUCAAACAACAUGGCUAGGAAAACAAGAGCAGAAAUCAAUCAAAUUCGAAGGUCCGUGACGGAACGACAGCGAUGCUUCAGACAAAUUUAUCCAUGGAGUUAAAUUUGAUACCACGUAUUGUGCUAUCGUUUCGCUCCACACCUUCUAAACCUCCCAACAGAAGCGUGAUCCGUGUACCACCCAUACGAACCCCCACGCACCCUUCUUUUAUACUCGCUUUAGUUCCAUGCCCAACACCCUACUAAUUCCCAAAGCAUCAAAAUUACCUCGUAAUUCAAUUAGAAAGAGGCUAAGCUAGGAUGAAAAACGAGCAGGAAUAGUGAUGAUGCAGCUGUGUAGCUUCCUCUUCUUAGAACUUGGGAAAAGGGGUCCACUGCAGCUGGAAUUAUUCGUCAUGGUGGUUCGGCAGCGCUAUCAGUGUGUUGAAAAGUUUCAUCAUUAGGAACGUACCUCCAAAUUUACAAUUUCGAGCACUGUAAGAUUUAACAAUUACAUGAGAAGAUGAAGAUUUCCAGGAUAAAUCAUUGCAAUCUGUGUGCAAGUUCAGGAAAAGUGUGUGGUGCGAAGUGCAUACAUGUCCCUAAAAUAUUAGAGAUGGUUGCAAGGGUUUCGACUGGUCAAUUGCCAACUUUCGAAACAGUGGCUAACGAUAAUUAUUGCAACGUGUCGUUACUUCUGCUUUCUUUCUUCGGUUUCUUCGAAUUCUUCUUAUUGUUCAUUUUGUUUGUUUUUAUUUUAUUCUGACUCACUAGGUCUCCUCAGGAAUAGAAAAAGGCCAACCUGAUCAGUUAUUGGUCGUUAAAGAAACUACCUCCUUUUACCAGGAUUCUCUAAAGACUGCAGAGUCUGUUGAACCAAAAGAGUUGAGCCAGAUUUGGGUGACGUCUCGGCAGGCCAAGUCAGAUUAUAGAGAGCUUCAACUCGAGCAUUUUGAUAUUUCUGACUGGCACUAGGGAGACCGAUGCGAAUCGGAAACGUGCAAAUUGGAGUCACUGGCUGCAUAAUCGUCGUCUAACAUUGGCAUGGAGAAUUUGACAUGACCAUGGAGUUGCUGAGGAUGUUUACCGACUAGCCAUCACAGCGCAAACCCGGUGGUAUGGGAAUCUAUUGAAUGUGAUCCAAAUCGUCAGCAGGUCCGUGAUAUGUAAACCCCCCCUGAAAUUAGAUUUUUUUUUUUUUUUUUAAUCCCCCCCCCCCCCCCCCCCCCAAACGCGACCACUCAUAACCCUUAAAAUCCCGCAGUGUCAUCUGGUUUUGGAAGUACCUCACCAUGUUAAAAGACUCAGUUUUGGUGGAGUCUUUUCAUCUUGACCCCCCACAAUGGACUGUGUUUUUUAAGAACUGAUCAAGCCUUGCUAACUUUCAGAAACUAGCUGUUCUGUGAUGGCUCCAUAACAGGCAGGGCUUGUGAGGAGAAAAAGAGGUUGAGAAGGCUGAGAUGGCUUCAAAAAUAGCUUAAUAAGAGCUCCAUUGGUGUAUCUAGUAGACAGUUUAAUGCCAUGUUUGUUCAGAUUCCAAACCACGACAAGAAUCCAUCCUUGAUUUAUGAUUGGGACUGUUAUGAGGUCCUCCCACAUGGUACUAUAUUACUUGUGAUUGUUUGAGGAAACAUUGGUCCCAUGUAAUCUUCUAUUGGAGAUGUCUACGAGCCAAAUUCACAUGAUUUUGUUGUUCCUAAAAAGCUUGAAUUGAACAGUAAGCGUUUGAUGGAAAAUUGUUAUGGUUAGUUUCCAUUCAAAAUCUUGUGUUUGGUAAAAACAUGAGAGAAAAGAUUGACGUGUUAAAUGACCUUGAGAUUCAUUAGAAGACAAGCUAUUCUAUAUUACACAAAAUUAACACAAAAGAAUUGUUUGUACACGUCUCAUCUUCAUAGAUUAAUAAUUCAUAUAGGAAGAUUCCUUCAAACCUUAUGAAAAGUAAAGGUCCAUGAGAAAGUAGUUACAAUUGUUUUCUUUUAAAUGCCUUUUGAAGAGAAUUCCUUUAUUUUAUUUGGAAUGAGAUAAAAUUUUUUAUUGAUUAUAGAAUAAAGUAUACAAGCAUAUAUUUUAAGUUUUAAAAUUAAUUAUAGGUUAUGGUUUUAUAUUUAAAUAAUAUGUUGUGGUGUAUUAUUUUUAUUACAUAAAAAUUAUCAUUAUUUUUAUUACAUAAAAAUUAUCAUUAUUUUUAUUACAUAAAAAUUAUCAUUAUUUUUAUUACAUAAAAAUUAUCAUUAUUUUUAUUACAUAAAAAUUAUCAUUAUUUUUAUUACAUAAAAAUUAUCAUUAUUUUUAUUACAUAAAAAUUAUCAUUAUUUUCUUAAAUUGAAAAUUUUAAAAUAUAAACCAAUAUCUGUGUUUUUGUGUUACAUUUUGUAUAUGAGCAACUCUUUGCAAGCACUCAUGUGUAUAGAAUUGAGGUGUUUGAGUCUUACCAAAUAGCUCCAAUCAUAAAGAGUAAAAUUUAGGCACUUCAAUACACUUCUUAAAAUAUUCUUUUUUCAUCACAAGUUGUUUUAACUAAUUUAAGGAGGUGCAAAAUAAAAGCCUUACAUCCAAACUUAAAAGUACAAGCAAAGGAUUCUUAAGAGGUAUAAUUUUUUAUAUAUUAAUUUAGCCUAUAAAUGCUACAUUGUAUUUGCAACACAAAGACUUGUUAAUCUAAUUUAUUUAGUAUAUUAAACUAAAAUAAAUUAAUAGAUAAAAUAAAUGAUAUCUUCUUGUAAAUUUAAUAACAUAUUAGUACUUUCUAGCAUUAUAGUAGAAUAGUGAGUUGGAUAUAAAUUGCCAAAUAUAAAAUUAGAGAGAUUAUUUAAAAAUAUUUUUUAAAAUUACCAAAAUUAUAUUCAUUUAUAAUAUGUAUAUGAAUAUAUAUAUAUAUAUAUAUAUAUAUAUAUAUAUAUAUAUUACAUCUAUUUUUGAUAGUGGAAAGACUUCAAAUAAUAUUUUGAGCAUGUAUAAAGAUUAUCAAGAUAUCUUUGAAAAGAAGAAUGUAAAUAUGCUUUUAAAGCAUUGUCCUUAUGAUUAGUCAAUUGAUCUUUAAGAAAGAACUCAAUUGCCAUUUGGACCAAUCUAUAACAUAUCACAAAAUGAAUUGGCUAUGCUUAAAGAAUAUAUUAAUGAAAACGUUACUAAAACCUUUAUAUGCCAUUUAAAAUCUCCUACAUGAGCUUCUAUCUUGUGUAUUAAAAAAUAAAGACAAAUUAUUAUAGAUGUAUGUGGAUUAUUGAAGAUUUAGUAAGAUUACUAUUAAAAAUAUAUAUCUUCUAUUUUUAAUAUCAAGAGUUUUUGAUCAAUUAAAUCAAACAAAGAUCUAUACAAAAAUAGAUCUACAAAGAGCAUACAAUCUAAUAUGCGUUAAAGAAGAAAAUGAAUAAAAGGCUAUAUUUUGAAUUGAAUAUAUGUAUUUCAAAUAUAAUAUCAUUCUUUUUGAAAUAAAAAUGUACCAAUUAUUUUUUAAUAUCUAAUGACUUAUGAUUUUGAGAGUUUGAAAUGAUUUUAUUGUUUGUUAUAUAAAAAAUAUUUUAAUCUAUUCUAAAGAUAUAAAAAAGUAUAAACUUUAUGUUCUAAAGCCUCAAGUAUUACAAAAACUUAGAGAUGCAAGGCUAUAUACCAAGAUAGAGAAGUGUGUAUUUCACAAUACUUGAGUUGACUUCUUAGCAUUUAUCAUUUCAAAUGAUGGUCUUAUUAUGGAUUAAGAAAGUUCAAACUAUCAUGGAUUGAAAGAUUUCAAUAACAAUAAGCGAUAUACAAUGUUUUUUUUUGAGAUUUGCUAAUUAUUAUUAGCUCUUUAUUAAAUUUUAUAUUUAAUAUUUUUUCAAGUUAUAACACUACUUAUAUCUUUGGCUUGUAAAAAAUAAAAAAACUUAAGUAAAAUAAAGAAGCUAAAGCAGAAUUUGAAGCUUCAAAGAUAGCUUUUAUUUACAUAUUAAUCUUGUAUUGCUUUGAUUUUUUUUAAAACAUUUUUUUUAUGAAAAUAGAUGCAUCAGACUUUGUAUUGAGUAUGAUAUUAUUAUAAAUAGGAAAAAUAUGACAAAAUUCAUUCAAUAAAUUUUUAUUUAAGAAUUUUUUUAAUAAUAAAGAUCAAUUAUAAGAUCCAUAAUAAAAAACUUCUUGUAACUAUUAAUUUUUUAUGAAAAUAGCACCAAUAUUUUUUAGAUAUUUUUGAUUUAGUAAUUGUUUAUAAAAAAUACAAAAAUCUCAAAUAUUUUAUAUCAUCACAUAUUUUAAAUUAUCACUAAACUUAUUAAAGUAUGUCUUUAUCAAGUUUUAAAUUUAAUAUUAUUUAUUGAUUAUAAAAAUAAUAUGAAUUAUGAGUUAUCUUUUUUAAAUGUUCUUAUCUUAUACUAAAAUAAAAAAAUGUGUUUUUUGAUCAAUAAUAAAUAAGUCUUUUAAAGCUAAAGUAAUUUCAUCUUAAAGCAAUAAAAUCAAAAUUAUUUUUUGAUUUAAUAUUUUGUAAUUAAAUUUAAUUGAAUAUAUCUUUAAAUGUUUUUAUUAAUAAUACCGAAAAUAAUAUUUUUAAAUUUCAUGAUUCUUCUAAUUUUAAAUUUAAAAAUAUAUUUUUUAUUUUAUGAGAUGCUUAUAUAUUCAAGAAAGUAAAACAAAAUUAUAUGCUGUUUAAGUUUAUGACAAUCUUUCAAUUGUAAGAUAAUAUGGAUACAAUAAGACUUUAGACUUAAUAUCUAAAGAUUCAUAUGGCUUCAAAUAUAGAAGAUAGUUUAAGACUUUGUACAAUCAUGUGAUAUUUAUUGAAGAUCAAAAAUUCCUUGUCAUUGACCUUAUAGACUUCUUCAACUAUUAAUUUUACCAAGACAACCAUGGUCUUUUUUUUAUGAAUUUUAUAAUUGAUCUUCCAAUCUCAAGUUCUUAUGACUAUAUAUUUGUGAUAAUAGAUUGUUUCAUCAAGAUGACAUAUUUAGUAUCAAUUAUAUAAAUUAUCACAAAUGAUGAAUAUCAAAACUUUUCUUUGACAAUAUUUAUUGCUAUUAUAGAUUGUCAUAAGAUAUUAUAUUAGAUAUAAAGACUCAAUUUGUAUUAAGAUUUUAGUAAAUUCUUUUUAAGAUAUUAAAAGUAGACAUAAAUUUUUCUUUAAUUUUCCAUUUUUAAAUUGAUGAAUUAAAAAAAUGAGUGAAUUAAGUUUUAAAAUAAUAUUUAAAAUAUACUAUUAAUUAUUAUAAAAAUGAUUAAUUAAUUACUUUUCAUUGAUAUUAUAUAUUCAUAAUAAUACAAAAUUUUAUUUCAUUCAACAAACUUCUAUAUGAAUUUUGAUUAUUAUCCAUAAUUUGAUAUUUUUUUACUUUUCAAAAGUUGAUAAUCUUAAGGUAAAAUAUUUAACAAGUUAUUUAUUAGAGCUACAUAUAAUAAUGAAGACAAAAGCAAAGAAUCUAAAGAAUAAAAAAAGAUGAAUUCAAAUGCCUAUUAGAAGCAACAAUUUCAAUUUUACAUUGUUAAUAAAGUAUAAUUAUUUUAUUAUAAUAUCAACUCUAAUUUCUUUUAUAAUAAGUUGGAUUACCAUAUAAUUAGAUUAUUUUUAUUUUUAAAUAGAUCAAUCCAAUUGGUUAUGAAUUAUACUUCUUUGAAUCUAUAAAGAUUUAUUACAAAUUCUAUAUAUGUCUUCUUAAGCCAUAUAAGAUAAUAGAUAUAUUAAAAAAAUGACAAAUAUCACUUUUUCUUAUAAAAAUGGAUAACAAUUAAGAAUUUGAGAUAGAAUAUGUCUUAAAUUCAAGGGAGUAUCAAAAUUGGUUGAAAUAUCUUGUAUAUUGGAGCAGAUAUGAUAUUAAUAAAACUUUAUGGAAGUCAUCUUAAAAUCUUGCAAAUAUAAAAAAAAAUAUUGAUGUUUUUUUUUUUUUUUUUUUUUUUUUUGAAUAUUAUUAUUAAUAAAAUCCAUCAAAAUAAAGAUGAAGAAUUAAAAAAAUCUUUGAGGUAAAAAAAAAACAAGUUCAAUGUAGAUUGCAUUCUAUACUUAUUUUCUAUUUUCUAUUUUAUUUAUUAUUUAUUAUUUAUUAUAUUUGUAAUACUAAAGAGAUAAAAAAUCAAUAGCCAAAAAAUUCUAUUCAAGAACUAUUGAUUAUUAAGUUACUAGAGAAGAUAUUGAAAUUGAUACAAUCUUCAAAAUAGCAUUAUAAAGUUAAAAACCCUGAAGUACAAAAAUAUUCUUUUUCAAAUAGAUAGUAAGAUACAAUGUAUUUGGUUUGAGACCUUAAAAGAGACUUUCAAUGUUUGGUGAUAUUAUUGGAAUUAAGAAUCACUUAUGAUGGUAUUUUAAAUAUUUUAUCUAAAAAAAGUUAUAAAACCCUCAAUAAUGAUCAAGUAAUAGAAUGAUCAUCCUGCCUUAGUAUAAAAUACUAUCAAUGGCUAAGAAGACCUAUCAACUACCUCCAAAAGAAAUAAAGAUCAAAAUACAUAACAAAUAUAAUUUAUUGUAUCUUAGACUUUGUCAAUAUGUAAUUACUAUCUCUUAUAAAAUUCACCUUUAAAAGGAGGGAUUAUGUCACAAAUACAAUUAAUAAUAGUAUUUAUCUAAAUUAUAGAAGUUAAAUAGAAGCAAAUAAAAGAAGAUAAAUAUUUGAUAAUAUCUUAUGAAAAAGCUAUUUAGAAGCUUCAUAAAUGUGGAUUUGAAUUUAUACAUGUCUAUAGGUGAUUGAUAGAUUAAAAACUUGGAUAACAAAUUUAACAUGUGGUGUACAUAUAAAAACUUUUUUUUCAAGUUAGACAUAUGUCUUACAAGUUGGAUACAUUAUAGAGAUCAUAUAGAACAUCACUACAUAGCUUUUAAUUAAAUAGUAUAUACAAAGGUAAGAACAACACAUUUUUUUUUUUAAUCAACAACUUUCUUAUAGUAGUCUUAUUUCAAGAGUCUUUAGUCUUAUUGUCUUUGGCAAUAGUUAUUUUAAUUUUAAUAUUAUAUUAUCUUUGAAUAAAUAUCUAAUCUUUUCUAAUGACAUAAGAGUGUAAUGGCUCUUUGAUUUUUUAUGAUUUAUAUACCUAAUAAGAAUAGAUAACAUAUUUGUUUUUAAAGAUAUUUUUUUAGAAAGAUAUGUAUCAAGGAGCUUUUCAUCAUCCAUCUCCAUUCAUCCAUAUGGAUGGCUUAACAACCUCUUUUAAUACCAAAGUUCUUUUUUAAUGCAUUUUCAAAUAAGUUUUACAUAGUAUGUACUUUAAAUACUAAAUAAAAAAUAUAAUAAGAUUUUAAGAGUCACCAAUGUCUAAUAAAGGUGGCUCUAAAUAUAUAAAAACUAUUAUAAAAAUAAAAUCAAUCUCAAUAGUAGCCUUUUUUAAAUGAACUACUUCAAAGUAGUAAUCUAACCACAUUUUUAUAAUCAAAUAAAAUUUAAAAAUGUGGUUUUUACCACCUUAUAUAAUAAAUUAUAUAUUAAAUAUAUAUAUAUAUAUAUUAUUUUACAUAGUAGCCAAACCACAAUACAAAAAUAUUAUAUUGGAUUGUUCAAAGGUUAUAUUCUAUUUUUUUUUUCAUUAUAUUGAGGAGAGUUAAAUAAGUUGGUGGUUUUGGUUGGACUUUGUAUGUAGCUCUUUGCAAUUGCAAAAGAAUUGUAAUCCAUUAGUAAGAGUAAAAAACUCAAAAUCAAAUAAAAGACUAUUAUUUUAGCUAAAAAUAUCUAUUUGUCUUAAUUAAAUAUCUUUAAUUAUAAAUAUCAUUAACAUAAGUAAAGCAUUAUAUUUUAUAAGUAAUAAGGAUGCUUUUACAAUUGUUGGAGAUAAAGUGUGAUUUUUUUAUUAGUGAUUAAUGAAGAAUAUUGACAAUCCAUAAUUGCAAUUUGUUUCCAUAGACAUUAAAAUUUGAUGAAAAGAUCUUGUUACUAUUUAAUGAUAUUUAUAGCCUUUUUCUUAUAGCCUAGUAGAAGCAUAGAAGAGCCUUCAAUUUUGUUGCUUCCAAAUAGAUUGAAGUUUUAGUACAAGUCUUGUGCUAAUAGUAUAUUCAAGAAAUUCUUAGUAUUAGACAAAGUAUGAAGGAUUCUUGACAUGGUGUUGGCCUUGUCAUUGAGAUCUAAAGGUUGUAUUUGAUUGCUUGUAUAGUUGAGUUUUAUCUUCUUUAAUUUGAUAUUGUAGAACAGUUAAUUGUUGAAGAUUUGAUAAUUUCUAAAUGGAGCUAUAACAAGGCUUAAUUCUAAAGAAGCAAGGCCAAAAGCUCCCUUGUAUAUAUAUUAUUGUGAUAUUGGGAGGUCUUUACAAGAAGUGAAGAUUAAAGCUAUAAAGUGGUGGUCUUGAUAUAGUAGUGGUAAGGAAUUCAGUUGGAUCUUUGAAAUUUCAGAGGCUCAAAAGGACUAUAAUAAGGCUAUUGUAUUGUAGAACUUGGCUAUUAUUAAAAAAGAGGUAUCAAGAGCAAUGAAGAUUUUAAGUUGGGUGCAACUACAAGAGGCAUGUUCACAUAAGAGAGAUUAGAUAAAUCUAACUAUGGAUGGAUUUAAAAGCUAAAUAAAUUUAGGAUAGGUUUUAAUUAGGUUAAAUUGGAUGAGAUAUAUACCAGAUGAAGAUUUUAAUUAAAAAUGAAGUUUUUAAGUAUAGGUGAGAAAUUAUUUAUAGAUGAGAGGUUAUUUGUAAAUAAUAACUUAUGCUUGGAUGAUUUUUUAUCAAAAAAUAAAUUUUAAUUAGAUAAAAUAAAUAAUAAAUAAUAAAUAAAUAAAAAUAAUUUCUUUAGAUAUGAAUUUGUGAAUAAUUUAUUAUUGAAAGUAUAACUUAAUAGUAAAAAUUUUGUUUGAGUACUUAGGUGAUUUAAGAGAAGUAAAGAGUGAAUUUAUUAGGAUUUGAAUAAUAGCUAUAAUUUCUAAAAAUUACAUAAUAAUUCAUGUGUUGUAAACUAGAAUAACCUUUUCAUUAAUUGAGGUUUAUUUUAGCUCACUUGUGCACUCAAUAACACUUUACUGAUUUAUAAUGUUUGAUAGGUCAACAUGCUUUGUGAGUGGCUGCAUAUUGGCCCAUUUCUUGAGAUGCCAUGUACUACUUCUAGGUUUCAAGGCAAUCUCCUCCAUGACAAAUUUUUUGGCUACUGUUAUAUUGUAUUAUGUAUUACUAUUAUAAAUUAUAUGAUAAUCAUUUAACUUAUAAAAUUAUAUCUUAUUUUAAUUUUUAAUUCUAAUAUUCUUUUUAAAUCUAAUAAAUAUAAACUAUGAAUGUAUGCUUAGUAUAGUAUGUUUUUGUUAUUUAUUUAUUUAUUUAUUUAUUUUAGUAUCACUUAAUUUCUAAUAUCACAUUAUAAAACAUCAAAGGUUUUUAUUUUUCUUCAAUUUUUCAUAUCAUCAAGUAAUUUGGAUUAAAGCACAAAAUAUCAAAAGUCUUAAAUUUUUUUUAUACGAUCCUACUAAUUUUCCAUUUAUUUAAUAUUCUCUAUAUAUCAUGAAAAGUCUAGCUUGGAUGAUGCAAAUUAUAAAUAUCUUUCUUCAAAUAAUUACAUUGUUGAAUAAAUUUUAUCUUUGAUGGACUUUAUAAGCAAGAGAAUAGUCAGUUGGAAGUUGUAAAUAAGCCAGGAAUUGUAAUACUCAUGCAACAUCAUAAGAUUUAAUCAAAGCAUUCAAAUGUUGCAACCAAAUUAUCUUAGAGAAUCAUAAAAGACCUAGUGGCUAAUAAAAAUAAGACAGAAUAGAUUGCUAAUAAAGUCAAGAUUAUAUUGUAUGCCUUGAAGUUAUUGAUUUAUAAUAUUUAAUAUAACAACUUUCUUUGUGAGUGGUUGUAUACUAGUCCACUUUCUAAGACUCAUUGCACUAAUUUCAAAUUUUAAAGCAAUCUCCUCUAUAGAAGAUUGUUUGGAUGCUAUUAUAUUGUAUUAUGUAUUAUCAUUACAAACUAUAAAAUAAUUAUUUAGCUUACUUAAUGGAUUUUCUUUAGUCAUAUUUCAAAUUAUAUUUUGUUAAAAUUUUCAAUCCAAAUAUUUUUAAUAGAUUUUAAAAAGAUAAAUUAUAAAUUUAUAUCAAGAGUAAUAUAUUUUUUUCAAUCUUUAUUUCUAAUAAUAUGCCAUAAAACUUAAUUUCAUCUUUUUGAAGUUAAAACAUUGUGAAAUAGCAUACAUAGUUGUGCUAAGUAUGUUAAUAGGAGAGAAUUAUGUGUUGAUAGCCAUUUGUUAUUAAAAUGUCUUUAUAUGUACUUAUUGGUUUAAAUCAUUUGUAAAAAUAUGAAACUAAUAUAAUGAAAUGAAUGAUAUUAAUAACACCUAGUGCAAUGCUAGAUAUCACAUGCAAAAAACCUUGUUAACUAUUAUCAGUCCUAUUUCUACAUAAAAGCACUAUAUAGACAUUAUUGACCAUUUAUACUAAUAUCUCAUGUCUUUAUAUUGCUAUUACAAUCUUUUAUAUAUUGGUUGAAUUUUCUUGAUUAGAAGCAAUAAUAUUGUAUCAAAAAGAAUUUUAAGAUCUUCAAAAAGAAAAUUCUUAAAGAAAAUAAUAUUAAAUAAAAAUAUAAUAUUUUCAAGAGAGAAAUAAAAAGUGGAAUUCUUCAUCAAAGCCUAAAGAUAUAUAUAUAUAUAUAUAUAUAUAUAUAUAUAUUUAUUUAUUUUCUUAAUAAAGAAUACUUACCAAAACAACAAUGUGAAUACAAGAGAGUAUCAAGAUAACAAUAGAGAAACAAAAAAGUAGAGCUAUCAUAGAAAAAAAAGGAACAAGCCAAAUCCAUGCCAAAGAAAAUGCCUGGUACAAGGAUUAUAAGAAAGAAAUGGAAGAAAUUAAAGAAAGAAAGAGAGGAUAUAUUAAAUUUGAAGGAUCCUCAGCAUUAAAAGCUUAAGAGGAAGCUAGACAUGGUUUGAUUGAUCAAGAUAGGAGAGUAUAACAUAUUCCAAGGUUCUAGAAAGAAAACAAGAGAACAAAAUUAAAAUUUUAUUGCCACAUAGAUGUUGAUUUGAAGACAUUAAUACUAUUGAUGGUAUUGUAUGAAUUCUUGUUGCAACCAUAAAAUGGGAGCAUUUGUAAGAUUUUAUUAAAGUGGAAUGGAGAGUUGUAAGAUAGAUUGCACUAUAAGGUUAAGCAACACAAGCAAUUUUAAGAGUAUAGGAUUUUAACUUUUCACAUCAAGUUGAGUGUGUCACAUUCAUUAUUGUGGUAGUAUAAAGUUAAAGUGCAAGCAUUGGAUUUUUAUGAGGUAGGUUUGAGGUUUUAGUGGCUUUUAAGUGAAAUAAAUAUCAAAGUUUAGAUUUACUUUUAAGUAUUGUUGUUGCAAUGGACGUCUUUGGCCAAAAUUUGUAAUCCUAAAGGCAUGAUUUGAGGUUUUAUUAUGACAAACAAUAGCUUAGAAUAUAAUCUCAAAUAAUUGAGUACUGAUUUUUGUUGUUAGGAUUUUGUUGUUGUAGUUGAAUUUGAAAAAAAAAAUUAAAACUAGUAUUGUGGAAGGCACAAGAUGAGAAUGAAGUGAAGGUUAAGGUUGUCAUUUUGGCAUCUCUUGUGAAGUAGAAGGAGGGAAUUGAAAAAAACAAGAGAGCUUUUAAGGUUUGUUCAAUCAGUUGAAAGAGUAGUGUUAAAAAUUGCAGACAAGAAAAUAUGAUAGAAGAGAUGAUAGGAGAAAGAUGGUGAUUUAUGGCAUGAGAAGAGUUAAAGUAUCAACAAUCAAUCAUAAGAGCUUUAGGUUGGAAAUUGUAUUGCACUUUAGAUUAUGUCAUGGAAUUAUUGGGGCUGAGAUAGUACCAAACAACAAUAAGACAUGUAUGUAUUCAAGAGCAAUGAAAGAUUGGGAUGUUUGAUAUAAUUUAAGUUUAGGUUUAAGACUAAAGAACAAGUCUAAAACCUUGACAAGGCUCUUAGACUUGAAGUUGACAAAAUAAAGAUUUGGAAAGCUUGCAAUGAAAUGAAAGUGAUUUUAGACAGUUUAUAACAUGCAAGUCUAUAUAUUUGGUUAUUUAUUUUGGUUAGAUUUAUUUAUUUAUUUAUUUUUGAUAAAGAUGAGAUAUAUUAUAGGGAUUUUUAUAAUUUGGUUUAUAUUUAUACAUGGAUGAUGAAUUUUGAAGGUUGUGUUGUAUUUGUAAUGAAGAUAAAAACUUUUUCUAAUUUAAUAUCUAGUAGAAAAAUGGAUCAAAAAGACAUUGGAUGAUGUCUUCUUUUUUGAAUAGCCAUAGCAAAGAUCUGUGGUGAAUGCAUGCAUACGAUUAAUGUUAUGCUUGGUACAAAAGAGCAUACGUGAUGAUAUGAGAUUCUACUAUGUACAUCCCUAUGUACAUCCCUAUACAGAUAAUUUUAUAAGUAAAAUGAAUAUGAGAUUUGUGCAAACAGAUAGUUGACAAUUUUUGAAAUAAUGUGUUAUUAACCUUAAUAUUUUAUUAGAAGUGUAGGUCUGAAUUUAGAAGAGAUGUAUUAUAAUUUGAGCUCCUAUAUACAUAUUUGCAACAUUUACUAUGAAAGCUUUGGAAGGGGUUGUAUUAAGAAUUUUUAAUAAUUCAAUGGAACCAUAAAUAAGAGGUGAUCAUGAAUUUUAGUUUAUUUGUUUAUUUGUUUCAUUUUUUUUUCUUGAUUUCUUUUUUGAAAGCCAACUUAUAAUUCUUUUCUCAGGAUUGUUAACUCAAAUAACAAAACUAAACUUGAUUUUAGGUAAGAGCUAGUAUAUUAUAAGAAGAUGUAGAAGUAAGAUAGUAGAUGCACGCAAUAAUAUUUUAGAUUAUAAAUGUUUUGUUUGAUUCCAUCUUUUUUAGUUUUAGAUUUAUUAUUAAUACAUGGUAUUUUUUAUAAUUUUGUGGUUUUCAUGUGCUAUUAAAACUUUUACACAAUUUGGAUAUGAUUAAACUUGACAUGCUACUUACUAGGAUCCAAUUGUGUACAAGAACCUCUCACAAACAUCUUACAUAGAAGUUCAUAAGGUCCAUUUGUCAUGUAGUAUGAUAUAUUUCAAUGAUAAUAAGUGGUAACUUAGUUUUAUAAGAACAAUGAGAUCAAUACAUCCAAGAUAUGCAAGGAUUAUAUUUUGCUUAUGAUAGAUCCAACGGUACUUAACAAAUGCUAGUUGAGUCAUAGUAUCAUUGUUUCACAUACAAAUAAUGCAAUAUUGGUAGAAUUAGUUAUGUCUUGUUUGCCAAUAGUUGUUAUUUGGCAAUAUAAGUAGCAAUGAAAUUGUAUUGAUAGCUAUAGACAAGGUUCUUAAAAGAUGUCAAUGAUAUAUGAUAGCAGUAGACAAGAUUUGUAUAUGGCAUCAAUGACAUAGCAUGGUGCAAACAUCCACAACUAUUGUGUCAACAAGCUCAUUUGAUAAUAGAUUUUUUUAUGAAGAAGCAAAGAGGUAGCAUAUCUAGAAACGAGAAGAGAAUGGAGGGCAUUGCUAUGAAAGUUUGUUUUUGAUUUUUUUCUUUUUUUGGUGCAAAAUUAAAAGAAAUGAGCAAAUUAGAGGACUGAAUAAGUGGUAGGCAAGGAUUGAGCAGUGGCUCAAGAAUUUUUGAAGGUAUAGGAAGAAAUAGUAGUAGUAGAUUUUAUGUUAUUCAAAAUUUCUUAUACAUAUGAUUUUGUGAAUGUAUUAUGUGACUAAAGUUACAUGAAUAGUGGUUUCAACAAACUAAAGGUCAUGGAGAUGGAAGUAUUGAGGUAUUUGGAGCAACUAUUGAAGUGAAGGUAAAAGAAGGUCCUUUAGCAAUCAAGCUAUGAUAUGUAAAUUAUGAGAAUUAAAUAAAUCAAGCAUUGAAGUUAAAAAAAAAGAAAGAAAAAGUAGAUUUUUAAAUUUAUAAUAAUGAGUUGAUAAGAUGAUCUAAUUUUUGAUUUUGAUUUUUUAUUUAUUUAUAUAUUUAUUUGAAAUAUAUAUAAUAAUUGAAUAUUAAAUUAAAGAUUUUUUAAGAUUAAAGAUAUAUUGUCAGAAUGAUAUUUGUAUUGUAUAGGAUAGAAGAUAAUAUGCUUGGUGUAGCAAUGUAGAUAAAAGAAUAUAGAAUAUAAUAAUGAAGAAAGUAGAUUUAAUGAAUAAUUACAAAUAUAUAUCAAUAGGUUGAAUUUUAGAAAAUUUUUAAGAAAAUUAAUAUGAUAUAAGUUUUGGAGUUGAUGAAGAAAUAUUUUGCAUAUCUUUUAGAAUUGAUGAAGAAAUAUUUUUUGGAAUUGAUGUCCAUAUCAUAUAUAUGAGAAGAAAGAUAUCUAAUUAAUAUGAAAGAAUCCAAUGAUUUUUUGGAAGAUAUUGAUACAAUAUCAAAGAUAGAAGAUAUUAUUGGAGAUGUUUGGAGAGAAUGCCAAGCCUAUAUUGUAGCAUUGAAGGAUUUAUUGAAGAAAGAAGAUAUAUUGAAUAAAAAUCAAUGUAAAAUUUUAUGCAAGAAGAUUGAACAUGCCAUGAAGGUAUAUAACUAUUUGAUGACUUGUAGCAAUGAUGGAUUGAAGUAUGAAAAAUUAUUAAAGUAAUUAUUGAUUAUAUUAAUUUUUUUUUAUUUAUUAGUGAAGAAUUGUGAAAAAAAAAAUGAUAUAAAGUAACAAUGAUUUUAUUAAAGAAUAAAAAGACUUUCAAAGAAUUACUUUUGAGCUUAAAGUGUUGUUAUGAAGAAGAAACUAAUAUACUUAAUGUACUUUUGAAGAAUUUUGAUAAAAUAUUUGAAGACAAAGUAUUUAGUAAUUUUAAUGUUGCAACUAAUGAUGAAGUAGAAGGUGAUGAAAGACAUUUAUAUGAAAGUUUGAUUCUUUCAAAUAAAAAAGAAAAUUUUAAAAAUUGUGGAUUAACAAAGCAUCUAUUACAAAAGUUGAAAGAUUUAAGUUAUAUAAAAGGUAGAAAAUUAGAUGAUUUGAAACUAUCAAAUAUAGAAAGUAUUAAUUUCAUAAAACUCAUAGGUAGAGGAUUUUCUAAAGAAGUACAUAAAUUAAAGUGGUUUGAACUUUUAUGUGUAACUAAAAAGAUGAAAAGUAUGCAUUUAAAAUCUUUCAUCAAAGAAGCAAGCAUCCUAUGAAGUCUAAGCCAUUCCAACUUGAUAUCUUAUUAUUUUACAAUGAAAACUAUUAGAGGUGAAAAUAGUCAAUGUUCUUCAUCUAAAAUGAAGAAUGGUCAUAUAUAUUUAGAGAUAGAAUUGAUACAAACAAAUCUAAGGGAUAUGCUAAAAAAAAUAGAGAGGUAUCUUAUAUAGUUUUAAUCAAUAUCAUAUAUCAAAUUAUAAGAAAAAUAUAUUAUUUAUAUAAUAUGCACAUUGCACAUCGUAAUUUAAAGCUUGACAAUAUUUUGGUGAAUAUUGCUGAAAUGAAAGUGAUGAAUAAGAUUGUGUUAUAGACUGUUAUGAAAGUGAUUGAUUUUAGAAAAUAUAAGAUUGAAGUUGGUAGCAAUCCAAAAGUAAUAGAAAAUAAUUAUAUUUAUGAUAGUUCAGCUUACAUGGCUCUUGAAGUAUUGAAGAAUAAAAAAAAAUAAAAAUGUAGCCUUUUGAUACAAAUGUAUUUACAUUUGGAAUGAUAUAUUGUAAGAUUAUUUUUAAAACAUAUCCAUUUGAUGAUUGUCCUAGAAAUAAGGUAUUGAAAAAAAUAAAUAAUAGUCAAAGAUCAAAAUUACCUUCAAAUUGUGAUAAAUUGACUAAGUUUAUCAAAGAAAGUUAGAACUUAAAUCCAUUGCAUUGACCCAAGUUUGCAAAAUUUAUGAAAGAAUGAGAGUGUUGAAAAAAAAGAUUAUGAAUGGAGAUUUUAUGGCUAAAACAUCAGAUUAUAAUGCAUCAAAGAACAAAAGUCAUGAAAAUAUAGAAUCACAACAAAUAUCCAAUAAAGUGCUUGUUUUUAAAUCAUUUCUAUUAAAUGAGAUAAGAAUGUAUUGAAGUGAUUUGAUUGAUUAGAGUUUUUAUUUGUAUACAAACUUAUAUGAUGUGGUAAUGGUUAGUUGUGGUAAAAAGAGUACUAAUUUGAAGAUCUAGAUUAGAAUAUAGUAUAUAUUAUAUGUGUAUUUAUUUUAUUCUUUGUGUUGAUGCUUACUUUAAUUUUUUAUUAUAGAUUGAUAUAAAUGAAGAAAAAGUAUUUAUUAAAAAGCAAUGCUUAUUGUAAAUAUCAAGCUUAUAUGGAAGCAAAGUGAAGACAUUGUGUCUUGUUGGAAUGGAUAAAAUAAGCAAGACCACAAUAGCAAAGAUGACAUUGAAUGAUGUGAUGAUGAAAUAUGUAUGAUGCUUCAUGUUUUGUUGAAUGUGAUGAAAAUGGUAGUGAUUGUUACAAAAUCGCUUGCUAGAUCUUAAGACAAUUGAAAGUUAAAGCAAAAACAAAGUACUUGAAAGAAGCACAAGAAAAGCUGAUAUUAUUUGUAAUUAAAAAAAAAAUCAUCAUAGUCUUUGAGAACAUAAAUUGAAGAUGUGGCUAUGGAUGAUUUAUUUGCUAUAAGUAGAAAUACAUUAAUUGUGACAACUUGAGAUUGAAAUGUUAUGGAGAAUUGUGGUGAUAAAAUUUAUAGAAUAAAUAUUGAAGAACUUGAUGAAAAAACAAGUUGGAGGUUGUUUAUUACUCAUUCUUGUGGAUUUAAAGACAAGUUGCUUAAUGAACUAGCUAAAGUUGGUAAAAAGAUUAAAAAAGUGUAUAAUGGCCUACCAUUGAGCUUGAAAGUUAUAGGUGCAUAUUUAAGAAAGAAAGAGAGGUUGAGAUAUUGAAAGCAAGUUUUUUAAAGUUUCAAGAGGAGAAGAGAGUUGGAUAGAGAUGAAAAGAAUAGUGACUAUAAGCUUUGGAAUAUAUUGAAAGUAAGUUUUGAUAACUUGAAAGUUGAAGAGAAGAAUAUAUUCUAAAGCUUAGCACUACUAGACUCAGGAGCAUCUGCUUGUUUUUUAGACGAAGAAUUUGCAAAGCGUCAUAAGAUCCCUUUAAUACAAAAAUCAAAACCGAUUUAUGUUGAGGUCAUAGAUGGGCGACCUUUAUUGUCUGGUAGCAUCACCCAUGAAUCAAAACCUAUAGAAGUAACGUUUAAAGACCAUAGUAGUCAUAUUAUUUUUAAUAUUAUUAGAACCCCAUCAAAUCCUAUUAUUCUUGGUCUUUCUUGGUUGGAAAAACAUAAUCCAUUGAUAGAUUGGAGGUUGCGGAAGAUGACUUUUUCCACAAAACCACCCAAGAAAAAACCUAGUAAAAAACCUCGAAAAAAGAAAUCCUUAUUCAUUGGAGCAAGAGCGUUUAUAAGAUCAUCUAAGGAAGGUACUCCAUUUGUCAUUUAUGCGGCUCCAAUUACCAAGGAGAAGAUCUCAACAGCAAGUAUACCAGAGCAAUAUAAAGAUUUUGAAGACGUGUUUCAAAAGAAGAACGCCGACAUACUACCGGAACAGCGACCAUAUGAUUGUGCCAUAGACUUGCAAGAAGGAGCACAACCACCUUUUGGCCCAAUCUACAAUCUAUCGCAAACGGAGUUGGCAGAGUUACGAAAGUACAUCGACGAGAAUCUAGCUAAGAACUUCAUUCGUCAUUCAAAAUCAUCAGUUGGAGCACCCAUCUUAUUUGUGAAGAAGAAAGAUGGAUCAUUACGGAUGUGUGUGGACUAUCGAGGCCUCAACAAGGUAACAAAGAAAAAUCGUUACCCAUUACCUUUGAUUUCUAGUCUCUUAGAACAACUUAGACGUGCGAAGAUCUUUACAAAAAUUGAUCUAAGGAGAGCUUAUAAUCUCUUACGAAUCAAGGAAGAAGAUGAGUGGAAGACAGCAUUCCGUACAAGGUAUGGUCAUUUCGAAUAUAAUAUCAUGCCUUUUGGUCUUACCAAUGCUCCAGCGGUUUUUCAACAUAUGAUGAAUGACAUCUUUCGAGAACACCUCGACGAUUUUGUUGUCAUCUACUUGGACGAUAUUCUAAUAUUCUCUAAAAAUGAGGAAGAGCAUGAGGAGCAUGUUCGUUUGGUCUUGGAGAAACUACGCAAGCGAGGACUAUAUGCCAAAUUAGAAAAGUAUUUAUUUCACUAGACGGAGAUGGAAUUUUUGGGGUUCAUUGCGACUACAGAAGGUUUGAAGAUGGAUCCCAAGAAAGUAGAAGCAAUCAUGUCUUGGGAGGUUCCGAAGACGGUUAGAGAUGUACAAUGCUUUCUUGGUUUUGCUAACUUCUAUCGGAUCUUCAUUAAGAAUUAUUCUCAAGUUGCUGCUCCUCUCACUCGAUUAACAUGCAAGGAUAAGUUAGAAUGGGGACCUUUGGCGGAGAAGGCGUUUCAAGAUUUGAAGACAGCAUUUACUACAGCUCCAAUUUUGGUACAUUCAGACUUUACAAAGGCCUUCUAUUUAGAAACUGAUGCUUCAGAUUUUGCUUUGGGAGCUGUGCUUUCACAAAUGAGUGAAGAUAAGAAGCUCCAUCUAGUUGUAUUCUAUUCUCGGAAGUUCUCUGCUGCUGAAAUCAAUUAUGAGAUCCACGAUAAGGAACUUCUUGCUAUAGUGGAUUCUUUCGAAGAAUGGCGUCACUUUCUUGAAGGAGCUGCACAUCCAGUAACCGUAUAUAUGGAUCACAAGAAUUUGGAGUAUUUCAUGACGACUCGAGUUUUAAAUUGGCGUCAAGCUCGGUGGAAUAUGUCGCUAUCUAGAUUCGAUUUUGUUAUCACUUAUCGACCUGGAAGACAGCAAGGACUAUCCGAUGCUUUAUCAAGGAGAUCGUAUCUUGCACCAAAGACUGGAGAAGCAGCAUUUGAUCAACAAUGUACAACGUUAUUGAAGCCAGAGAGAUUUCAACUUUGUGCUACUAUUGUAUCAUUUGAUGCUGACUUCCUAAACCAGGUACGUGCUAUGACCAUUAAAGAUUCAGUAGCCAUUGAUAUCAAGCAACGUACCAAUGACGACAAGUUCAAGGUGGAGGGAGAUCUUUUAUACUUUGAAGAGCGAUUGUACAUUCCAAAAGGACUAGCACGACUCCGAGUUCUUCAAUCUCGCCAUGAUUUUCCAACUGCGGGACAUUUUGGAUUCAACAAGACCUUGGAGCUUAUUUUCCGAGAUUUUUGGUGGCCCCAAAUGUGGAAGGAUGUGAAAGAUUUUGUCCUCUCUUGUGACAUCUGUUCAAGAUCUAAGAAUCCUCGGCAUCGCCCUUAUGGACUUCUACAGCUAUUGCCAAUUCCACGUCGACCAUGGUCUUCAAUUUCUAUGGACUUCAUCACGGACUUGCCAUCAUCAAACUCAUUUGACAGCAUCUUUGUUGUGGUAGAUCGGCUUACGAAGAUGGCACACUUUGUUCCUUGUAAGAAGACAUCGUCUAGUGAAGUCAUAGCAAGACUCUUUCUUGAUAAUGUAUAUCGAUAUCAUGGACUACCAGAUGAUAUCAUAUCAGAUCGAGGUACCCAGUUCGUAUCAAAGUUUUGGAGAUCUCUCUUUGGGAUAUUGAAGGUGGAUAUCAAGCUUUCUUCAGCUUUUCAUCCUCAAACUGAUGGCCAAACGGAACGGGUGAACCAAGUCUUGGAGCAGUACUUACGAUUCAGCAUCAACUAUCAACAAGACGAUUGGACUGCAUAUCUACCGCUAGCCGAGUUUGCAUAUAACAACAUCCUCCAUACGUCGACUCAACAAACACCAUUCUUUUCCAACUAUGGGUAUCAUCCGAAGCUUGAUUUAUUGAGUCCGUCAACAAAUAACAAUCCAGCAGCUGAAGGAUUUGCAAAGCAACUAUCAGAGCUUCAAACUAUGUUGAAGCUUCAAUUACAAUCCACUCAAGAAUCCUAUAAGACGUCUGCAGAUAGAUUUCGGAAUUCAGCACCUACUUUCAAAGUUGGAGACAAAGCAUGGCUUCUUCAACGAAAUAUCAAGACCAAGCGACCAUGUGAUAAGUUGGACUAUCAAAGAUUGGGACCAUUUAUCAUCCAGAAGCAAAUUAAUCCAGUGGCAUACCGGCUGGAGUUACCGGCUUCUAUGAAGGUACAUCCAGUCUUUCAUGUUUCUCUGUUGGAUCCUUAUCGAGAGUCAUCUUUUCUUGGAAGAGUGCAAUGUCCGCCACCUAGUAUUGAAAUCGAGAACCACGAAGAAUACGAGGUUGAAAAGGUAUUGGAUUCACAGCGAAGGUGGGGAAAGUUAGAAUAUCUUGUUCAUUGGUGCGGCUAUGACAUUAAUGAGUGAACGUGGGAGCCAGCUAAAAAUCUUGCGAAUGCGCCACAAAAGGUACAGGAGUUUCAUCAACGACAUCCCGAUAAACCUAAAUCAAUUCGAUGAUAGCUUCUUUCUGAAGCUUGUUCUCCCAACAAUAUAAGAAAAGGGGAGAGCACCAGCAAAAUUCAUAGUUGAUGUAGUUAUUUUCUCCAAGAUAGAUCGUAGUUUGGUCUUUUGAUAUGGAUAGCCAAGAGAUAGAUAUUAUGCCAGUCAGAGUAUCGCAACCGAGUAGCUCACGAAGGCGACCCCGAGAUGAAGAACUACGUGUACCACGACGACGACGGAGGAUACCGAGUAAUCGAUCACUGGUGAUCGUAUUUGAGAUCGAGCCUGCUUACAAUGGUCAACCAAAAGGCGUGUUUGCAGGACAAUUUCACAAUGAGGACACGGAAGUUCAUGCUUGGUCAGAAGUCAAAGGCGUGGGCCACUACCGUUGGCUUCAAGGGUCGAUGAACCACUUGCCUCGUAAACAACAAUUGGAGUUCAUAGCAGAAGUUAUGCGACAGAUCUUCAUUUUUUUGCGUUGGUACUGAUCAACAACAUUGCUUCUCAGAGACCUCGAAGCUAAAGGAGGGGGUGAUGUUAGGGACAUAUUCCUUAGAACUUUCUAGAGAGAAGUUUCUAGAACCUUCUAGAAAACAAGCCUUUGGAACCUUCUAGAAGAGAAGCCUCUGGAACCUUUUAGAGAGAAGUUUCUAGAAGCUUCUAGAAAGGAAGUCUCUGGAACCUUCUAGAAGAGAAGUUUCUAGAAGCUUCUAGAAAGGAAUCUCCUGGAACUUUCUAGAAGCUUCCUAGUUAAUAGAAGUAGCUCGAGAAGUUUCUAAAACCUUCUAGAAAGGAAGCCUCUGGAACCUUCUAGAAGCUUCCUAGUUAAUAGAAGUAGCUCGAGAAGCUUCCUAAGUAGGAGUAUAUAUAGGAAUCGAGGCUGAAGAGUUCUUCAGUCUCGACAACACAUCUCUUGGAGUUCUAGCUCACCUUUCUGGUGUUGUUCUUGUACUCAUCUGUUUAAUCUAGUUCUGCCACUUCUUCUUGAACUUCUUGUUAGAUUUCAAGUCUGUAUUUUGUGUCCAUGAUAGUAUGACUGAAGCCUUUUUUACUCUUGUUAAUUCUUUUUUUUGCUUCUAGUUUAUUUUCAAAGAUCUUUGAUUUAUCUUAUCUUUUAGUAAUAGCUAUUUUAGUUUUUUUUAAUAAAUAUAUUUAUUUAUUUCUAUUUUGACAUCUUUUUUGAAAAAAAAAAAAAUUAUUUAUUUACUUGUCUUCAUCAAGUUCUUGUCCUCAAAAAAUUGACAAAAGUAUACUUAUAAUAUCAAAGUUUUAUCUUUUUUUGAUUAACAAUAAAUUAUCUAUUUUUUAAAAAUAAGACAUAAGUGUAUUAGAAGUUAGAAAUUAUUGACUUUAAAAUUCAUAUUGUUCUUAGAAUUUCUUUAAUUUUGUAGUUCUUUCUUCUAUUUAUUUUAAGAGAUAUUAGAUUUUUUAUUUUUUAUUUUUUUUUUCUAUUAUAUAAUCAUAAAAAAGUUUAUUCAAAUAAAGAGUGCAACUAUACAAAUGCAAGAAUAGUUGAAAAAAUUAAUACUUACAAUGCAUCAAUUCAAUUUACCACUACAAGAAACAGUAUGAUUAAUAAGAAGUAAAGAUAUAGAGAUGAUUGGAGUUACUUCAACAUCUACACCAAAUCAUAUUCUUCUUCUUUUAGUGGAAUAUUGCUCAAGCAUUAGAGAAUCAAGAAUUAUCUUAUUUGAGAAAUUUAAUGGCAUAAAAUCAAAGUUUUAAAGAUUUAUCAAUCAUAUAUAAUUUGCAAUUGAACUUCAACUCUAAUUCUAUCCAAUUCUAAAAUCACAAAUCAAUUUUAUUGAAAUAUUACUUUCAAAUUCUGUGUUAUGAUAUAUUUCAUCUUUUCUUAAAUAUAUGAUCUAAUAUUAGAUAAUUUGGAGGCUUUUUUGGUAGAGUUUCAAUCCAUGUAUGAAAAACAUAAUACAAUUUGUAUUGCAAUGAAUAAGAUCCAUAUUUUGCAACAAGGCAAUCAAUCCAUAACAUUAUAUACUUCAAAAUUUUAAUAACUUAUAAUUAAAAUUAAGUAAAAUGAUGCGGCAUUCAUUAGCUAAUUUUUCUAUGAUUUACAACAUAAAGUAAAGAAAUUGAUGUUCAAUAUACAUAAUAUAUAAACAUUGAGUCAAAUAAUUGACUUUGCUAUGAAAUAUGAAAAAUUUUAAAUUUUGAUUUGAAAGUUGUAUAAAAUUGGCCUCAAUGUUAUUAUAAUUCAAUAGAAAUAUCAAUGUCUUUUUAACACAUACACUUGAAAGUAGAGGAUAUACAAUAUAUAAAUAUUCAUAGCUUGUGGUACAAGCUAACUAUGUAGUACACAUUCAAGAAACUUGUCUCAUAAGUUAAGGCAUGUGUCUUAUAAAUUUAACAUGUAUAAAAAGUCCUAUAGAAUGUCACCAUAUAGCUCCUAAGUAGAUAGUAUAUAGAGGUAAGAAUGAAGCUUUCUUCAUUCUUGUCAAUUCUUUUUUUGCUUUUAGUUUAGUUUUAAGGAUUUCUAGUUUUUCUUGACUUUUGGCAAUAGCCAUUCUAGUUUCUUUUUUAAUAAAUAUAUUUACUUAUUUCUAUUUUUUCAUUUUUCUUUAAAAAAAGUCUCAUUUUUUUAUUUAUUUUUAUAAAGUCUUUGUCUUUAAUAUAUUAAUUAUAUUUUUUUUGAUAUUAUAAAUAUACAAAAUUUCAAUUUAUAAAACAUAAUAGUAAUUAGAAUAUUUUUAGUGGUUUUAAGUUAUACUAAUAUUAUUUUAAUUUGAUUAUAGAGGUUUUAUAUUUGUCAAAAUUAAAAAAGAUAUAAAAUGUUAUUAUUAUGAUAUAUUAUAUAUUUAAUUAAAAAAUAAGUUUUAGAUAACUUUAAAGAAAUCAUUAUAAUCAAUCUUAUAGAAUUAUUUAUAAAAUACAUAUCAAUAAUUUGGUGGAUUUUGGUUGGUUAUUAAACAAAAAAAUUCUUAUAUUUUUCAAUGAUGCAACUAUCAUAUUUUAAAUGUUGAAUUAGCAUAAAAAAUUAAAGAUAUUGAUAUUAAAAUAUUUUAGAUUAAUAUCAAAUCUACAUUAACAAAAUAAAGAUUUAAUUAAAAAUAAAAAACAUAUUAAAUAGAAAUCAAUGCAUAGAUCUUUGCAAAAAUAUUUGACAUGUUAUAAAAAUAUUCCAAAACUUUAUAACCAACAUUAAUAAUGAUUCUAAAUAGAAGCUUUUAUUUAUUAAAUUUUAUUUUAUAAUGAGUACAUUUUUUGCAUUGACAAAAAAUUUCGUGGAAAAAAUAAUUGGUCCUGUCUAGCUAUCUUUUAAUUGAAAAUUAAAGAAGUAUUUUAAAAAUUAAUUUUAGAUUAAAAGUAUUUUUAUGAUAUAGCAUACAACAUUCUUUCAAAUUAUUAUUCAAACAACUUUAAACUUAAUAGACAUAUUAGUUUUAUUGUUGCUACAUUUGAAGAAGUUAAUGAUAAGAUUUUUUUGUAAAAAAAUAAAUAAUACAAUUAGAAAUAUGCAUUGUAAAGAAUUUAAAUUAGAAUUUAAAUUAGGGCGUACUUUCAUCCCAUUUCCAGGGUUCUGAGGAGAAGGCCCAUAAAAGUCCAAUAGGUAAUAGUACACAGCCUCCUCGUCCCAGUCGAAAGUCAAGCUGCUGGUUUUGUCGCGGCAUGCGGGGCAGUCAUUCUCUGCUGGCCACAACUUCGACGAAUUUCCUUCCGUUUUGUGUUCCUCUGAUGCAACAACCUCAGUGAUCUGCAAUGUAGGUAAGACAUCCUAGUUAAAAAUUCCAACCAUGUUUACAACUCAAUAUCGAAGAUAGUAUUUAUGUCCAUGCAACGUUCCUAAAAAUAAAGAAAAAUGAUUGAAUCACCAAUAACAUAAUACAUUGAUUGUAGCAAGUGAAAAAACAGUCCGAGCAUCUUAGUAAGGGAAAUACAUUGCUUUCAAGAUGAGAAGGAGCUUACCAUAUUGUGGAUCCUCCACAGCCAUAGGACCAGGUCCCUCUUACUUAUUCGUGGACUAGCUUGGCUUCUGAAAACAGCCAUGUCAUAAAGUGAAUCGUGAACUAAAGAUAUUAUAAAAGAUUGAUGGUAUCAAUUCAACCCCAGUGCAGAAGAUACAUGCCUCAUGUAAACGAGGUAAAUAACUUGACCUCGACAUAAGGGUUUGGGAAAAGGGAAAGAAUUUGGAGUCAUAAAGAGCAGUCCAAAUAGGGACAUUUGAAUCAGCUAUUUCAGAUGAACACAGAAAGUAAACCGUAUUCCAGAACAAACAGACCGUCAGACAUUGAGUUUCUCAGACAAUGAAUAAAUCUUGGCACGUAAUUCGUCUGUGCUGGCAUGAAUCCUUUCUAGAUAUUUCUGAAAAAAUCAGACCAGAGAAGACGGGCUACACUCAAUCUACAAAGCAUUAGAAACACACCUGGUGGUUGCAUUCCGAAAAUGAUCACGACAAUGAUCACAUUUGUAGAAGUCGUCAACAAAUGCUUCUAUAGCUAACUUCGCAAAGGUAGCCUCAAAUUCUUGUACUCGAACUGUCAAUGAAUGAAGCAAUAGCCACAAUCCGCAGCUGCAAAGGGAAAAGUUAGAUAAGCGAGAGGGCAGCCAACAAAGAGCCUUGAGAUGAGCUUUGUGCUUGAAAUGACAGGUAACCGCCAGGGACUGUUUCGUGCUUACUACGUUAGACUGUCCUGCUGUUACCAUAACAAUAUAUAGCCGUAAGGUCUACAAGAGCAUGACAUGUGAGACAAGGGUAGUACUACUCGGCUAAUUUUUGUAGAUGUUUUGUAAUUAUUAGAACAACGCUAGCAGUACGGUGUUGAGAACCCACUAAACCUCAAGUAGAAAGUCGUUCACUUGUAACCGCGACCUUUUCCAUCGCAAGCUUCCUGGAAAAUCAUUUCAUGAGAAUUGAUGCUCAUAUUUCUUGACUAGUUGAUCUCGAUAAUUAAGGAUAGCGGAACAUCAGGGUAUGAGACGCAUCAAGGCAGAGGAACACACAAAUGACAACCAAUGUGGUUCUGGGUGUCAAAAUAUGAACAGGAUGAAGAAAGUGUAAGGAAAAACCCAGAAGCGACGAGGUAAGCCUGGACCGCACAACUGUUGCUUCCUCAACGCAUUUGUAGGUUGAAGCUGGCUGCCAGGCCACCAUUUCGUUGAGUCCUGCAGCAAUUUUGCACUCCCAAUCCGACACCUGAUAUUGCAUCCUACGACCAUAAGUUUCCUUGCUUAAAUAGAGUUAUUCAAAGCGGAUAACCUACCUCUUCAGUAGCUAAAAUUCCCAAAAAUGGAAUCAACGAUAGCAACUUCGAAUCCAACAAGAUUGUGGUGGUUAAAUUGAUCAUUGAAACACUCCAACGUCCGCUUUCUACUCAUACUGAAUACUGAUGGCACACACACACACAUUCUGAGAGGACGACACAUUAGUAAGAACAGCACCUGUGUGAGGGAUGUUGCAUUUCCAAGAGAUGCAAAAAAUCCAAAAAAGAGGAGUGACUGGAUGACCGUAGCAUCUGCAGGAGUCAUGCAAAGAGUGCCAAGGGAACUUAGGUCAACAAGGACCAUCUUAUCCAUGCUGUACUCAAAUGAGCCGCCAAGCAGAAUAUCUAAAGCUAACAAGCAUAGACCUUAGAGCCAAAUUACUAAACCAACCAGAAAGAUUGAAUACAUAACAAUAUGGAAAUAAACAAAAAACGUAAAGCGUCUUCCUACGAGGAGUUCGUGGCUUACCUUCUCAUCCAACAUGUAUGAAAAAGCAUACGCCGUGGCUUCUUCAACAUCAUGCAGCAUUCCAGAAAUCUUUUCAUGAACACAUGGCAUUUACGAUCUCACAUCAAGUUCUGAACAUAAGCGAUAACUGCAAAAUCGUAAUCCAAACGUAAAUAGAUAAUACACUAUCCGUUCACUUGGUGAAAACUUAACGACUCUUUCGGCGACAAUGACAUCUCCUGUAUGGUAAACAGUCCGAAGAUCUAAACAAUCCUGUCUAGACAUAAUAAUAUAAGCAAACUACUUUGAUGAUUCUCAUGGCUAUGUGGUGGUUUUGUGGCUGGACCUCCCAAACGCCAAGCUCCUCCGAGAACUGCUGCUUUGCUGUUUCAGUUUCGGUGUUUGGGGUUCCCGGCCUUACGUAAUUCAGUGAGUACUUUCUAUUUCCAAAAGACGACAUGAUUAGAAGAUGGAAUGAAAUUUCUUAAAAUGGAUACAGAAAGGUAGUUGAAAAUAGGGAAAGCAGUACAUAAACACAGAUUAAAAGCACAACUUCAACACUAUAAUUUAAGGCUAAGCUUAUCAUGCUCAAAAGGUAUGCUUGAUAAAGAUGCAAACUUAAUUUAUCUUACAUCUCAUAUUGUAUCAACUCAUCCGAAUGAUAAUCGAUCGACAAAUGUUCAUACAAGUUUGACGCCCUUGAGGUAACUGAAAGACCGAAAAAAAAAAAACAAAAACAAAACAAAACAAAAGUAGACGCUAACUUCUUAAUGCGCUUGUUUAUCCAUUCAAGUAAACUUUCAGCACUGCUAACAGUCGCUCCAGCAACAGAUUCCAGUCCUAACGUUUGCUUAAAAACCCCAUCGCUGGACGCAAAGACUCCAGGAGGUCCCCAAUAUAAUGUCGGAUACGAUUGAAUAUCAAAGCGCUCGCAGAGACCCUUGUUAGACUGCUCCAAUUGAUGUAAGGAAAUUACAAUUAUUCAACAGAUGUUAACAGCAAUGACAGGACUAAAUCUUGUGAUCAGUCAUGCACAAAUGCCAAUCAUGAUGUGGGAGGAUCACAUACUAACUUGAAAGAUUGAAGGAAUUAUUAGGAUAAGGCUAAUUACACACAACUAGGUGAUCCAUAAUUGACAUAUAUGCUUCAUCCGCUGAAAAUGCAUCACCUAUUGUUCCAUCAUUAACCCUGACAGUGACUUUCAGAAAAUAUUGAAAAAUGGAAGACGGCAAAAUAUCACCUCUAGAGCGCAGUUGACCAUGGUGACGUACACUUCACCCUCAUGAAUUGCAUUCGGAUCAUUAAACAAGCAUGCCACACGCUCGUAAUGUGGCUGCACUAUCACAAAUUAGGCUUAGAAACAGCACUUUGCCCAGUAAUCUGAGAAUAGACAUUUGUUCCGCGAAAACCAUUCUCUUCAAAGAAACUUGUAAUUUUGAUAUUCGUUAAACCUAGUUUUAAUUACGUUGCACUUUGCGCAAUAAUAUACUGACACAUCCUGAAAAACUUGUGAAGAGCCGUGACAGCAUGACAUCAAAUGCUUUUGAGAAAUUUUAGCUAGGAAGCCUAUCUUGAACUGCUGGCACUCCGGUAACCUACACAGACAUGAUUUCAAAACGUUUUUAGGCUGUAACGACAACCAACACAAUUUAACCCCCUCGGUAGAUCUCCAAUACAGACAAUAACUCGUCAGAUAAUGCCAGGCAUUGAGUGGGAUACAUAAGUCAUCCCAUACUUUUGAAACAAUGCACAAGAGAACACAAAAUUGAGUAAGCUUUCCAGUGCUGAUUUGGUACUACGUGGACAAAUCCUCGGGACACCAAGCACACCACAUUAAAGAGUCGAAUUCGUAUGCAAGCAUUAACUGUGUCACGGAAGGUGUACUCUCAUAUAUACAGUGUGGUUUAGAAUAAAGUGUGAGGGUUCAGGAAACCCAGUCUACAGAUCGAACAGUAAGCUUACCAAGACGCGAAAAACUCCACGAGUGCAUAUGGAGUCUUCGUCUGCGCCAGACUCGGAUGGAAUAUCUUGUCAUAAAGCUCAACAGCACAAUCGUCUUCGUUGCCCAGUGCGCUUCCAACGCCACCCACUAACAGCAGAGCUGCUACCCACAUGCUCGCCCAGUUCCUCUAACCGGCCAUCUUCCUCCCCCUCACUCGUUUUUUUUUCUUCUAACCCCAAUACACAAAAAAUCAGAGAAAAAGCUUAACAACGUUCGAAACCACACCAACAUUAAAAUCAACCACAGGAGCUCUCUACCAAGAAUGGGAAUCUGUUGCGCAAACCCUUCCGAGCGAAAAAAACCUCACUCAGCAAGAAUGUGACUCAUUGUACCAUUCAUUUGAGCCUCACACUCGGAAAAUGUAAUACCAGGGAUCCAGAUCCACACCCCCAUUAACCCAAUCACGUACGAAUAACGAUCGAAUUUGUACGUCACCACCACCUCGUCACCAUCUCCACCCAAAUUUGUAACGAUUUCUCAGCAACUGAAGCAAUGGAAUCUUGGGCAAAACCACGCAUCACGCUACGACAACAUUACUGCAACAUGAAUCCAUCAACCGGAGCUUGAUUCGGCACCGAACCCAGUUAUCAAAUCACUUACACAAGUGCUACUUGCACCGAUUUCUCCAACCCAACGCCAUAGCUCACUUCACCGAAACUCACACACACAAACACACACAUCACCAUUGAUUGUAGGGAUUAGAAAAAAAAAAAAAAAAAAAAACAAUGCCAGUUGGGUUCAGUUUGCAUUAUUAAAAUGGGAUGCUGUUGACGCUUUCUAUUCAGUGGUACAAAGAUUUACUGGUGCAUGUUUGAAACAAAUGGUAUGAUGCCACGGAAUGAUUUCUGUUCUGUCUUGCUUACUUUCAUGUCAAAAACUAAUGUCAUCUUUGUAUUUACAUGUAUAUACAUACAUACUUGUGUAUAUUCUCCAAGUCAUCAGCACUUAAAAUGUGCAAAGUAAUUAACAAAUAUUAGAAGGUCAAAGUUUAGACUUAGAUUGUGGUCAACAUGAAUUAGAAACAAUCAAAAUGCUGAUACACUCUUGUAUCACUCAAAAAGAGAUAUUCACUCAAAGGUAGUAUAGUAUUAAAAUUAGAAUGACUAUUACCAAAGAUAAGAAGUUUAGAGACUCUUGAAACAAGACUAAGAACAAAAAAAGCAUUAAGAGUGAAGAAGGCAUCACUCUUGCUUCUAUAUAUACUAUUUAACUAAGAGCUACAUGGCAAAGUUCUAUAGAACCUCCAACAUCCAUCUAACUUGCAAGACAAGUUUCUUUCAUAUGCACCAUAUGGCUAACUUGUUGGCCAAGUUUUCAACAUAUCAAUUACCUAUAUACACAUAUAAAGUCUAAUCCACAUCUAUAAAGUUUUUAAGAAGCCACUACACAAAAUAUUAUCUAAUCUACUUAUUAAUAUCUAUUUCUAUCUAACUAUUUUAAUUUAGAUAAAUAUAUAUAUAUAUAUAUAUAUGUUCAUAAUAAUGUGUUAUAUUUCAAAUAUUUAGAGGCUCUAAGUACUACCACCUAGAAUUUAUAAUUAUUUUUAAUUAUAAUUAGAAGAAAUUUUUAUUUUAUUUAAUUUAUUGAUAUUAAAAUGCUUUUAGUUUUUACUUAUAUUGGUUUGCAGAUACAAUUAUAAGUAUAUUUUAUUAAAAUUACUUUUAGAGCAAGUGAAUGCUCCUAAUAAUUAUGUAUAAAAGUAUUUGGUUAAAUGUGAAAUAUUUGUAGAAAUUUAAUGAAUAAAAUUAUGGCAUAUGGAAUUGCUAUUUUAUGUUCUAUAAUACAUUAGCCAUUGGUAUUAUUAGCCUUAAUGUAUACAACAUAUAUAAGAUAUAGAAGAAUUCAUAGUAGUAUAGAGAUUGAAGAAUAAUUUAGUUACUUAGCAUCUUGCAAAAGAUAGGUAAAAGUAAAACACAACCUUUGAUAGAUGUAUAUUAAUUGAAGACUAAUUUCAUGACAUGUAUAUGUUUUGAAUUAUUAGAUGGUUUAAAAUUAAAGACAUCAUUCAUUUUUAAAUUUUAUGAUACUAAAGAAUAUUUUAGAAUUUUAUUCUAAAAAUAAUAAUACCACAUUUUUUGUGUAAUUAUAUUAUUUAUUUUGAUUACCAUAUUUUAAUAAUGACAAUCUAUUAUAGUUAUAACAAUAACUAUAACAAUAGAAUUAGUUCUUUAAAGAUUACUACAUUAGAAAUAAAAUAAUUUUGCAAGAAUUCUUCAAUUGUAAGAAUUAUAUUGAAUAGUUAGUAUACCUUAAAAUUUUAUUACUAAUUUUUCUACAUAUUUAAAAUUUUAGUAUAAGAAGAUAUUAGAAUAUAAGUCUAGCAAGUUUCUAAAAUUUUAAUUUUACUAUUAUAAUUUUUUUAUUGAAGAAAAAGUAUUUUUUUAAUAAAUAGAGAGAUUUUUAUUCUAAAUAGAUCUCUAAAAUCAAAAACAUUCAUCUCUAUUGAGAAUGUUAAGAAAGACACAAGAAUAAUAGUAAGUAAUACACCCACACAAGAGUAAUAGUAAGUCAUACACACAAGAAAGUUUCUAAAAAGAGAGAGCUUCACACACAAAAUUCUAUUGUUCUGGGUGUGUUUCGUAUACAAGAAGAGAAAAGGGGAGAAGAUAAACAGUACUUCUCCACUAGACUCUAAAUAUUGUAGCUAUGGUAUUUACUAUAGUCUACAAUAAAUAUUAUGGAGAACGUUGUCGUAUUGUAACACGACUACAUGGUGAAAAUAUAAAUGAAAAAGAUUUUAUUAAUAUUUAGUCAUCUUAGAUGUUAGAAACAAUGGCCAAUUCUAGUGCCAAUAUUCAGGGGCCAGUUAAUGUCACCCCAUUGUAAGUUGUACCACUGAACGUAACAACAGCAUGUACUCCACUAGCGUCAUCGAACCAAGUACCCUCCAUACCAACGAGAUGACCAAGAUCAUUUUCUAACCUUACAUGGAAUAAGCCUAGUAGGUAUAUAUAGGUGGAGACACCCAAUAUGCCUGAUGGGGGUGCAAGAAGACCACUUCAUUGUUUCCAUUGCAAACAGAUUGGUCAUUAUGCUAGUGAAUGUUCCAAUCCCAGAGCCAGUCACAAUUACGUGCCAGUGUGUGGGAAUUGCAAGCAGUCGGGGCAUACAUAUCAAUAAUGUAAUGUUCCAUUCAAUUUCAAUAAUCGGGAUUAGCAGAUCCAAAGCCAAGAAAAAAUUGAGGAGAUAAAUGGAGGUCUUCAAGUUUCUUCAGUAAAUUCAGUGAAAUGUGUCCAAGCCAUUCUUACUAAGAGUCGGCAAAAGGGAAAAGGACCAAUUCAACAUUCAGGUGAGCUUGAUGGGAAGGGCUAAUUUGACCCAAUUAUGGGGACAUCCAAUCCAAGUCUUGUUACGGGCCUCUUACCCAGUAUGAGACUUGACUCGGUUGGUCAAGCCAAUGAGGUUCCGAUUAUGGAGGCUUUAGUUCCAUUUCAAGCUGUUUCAUUCUCUAUACCGUUUCGGGGAAACGUCCUUUCCAUAGAAAGAUCCUCUUAGAGGCAAGAAUUCCAUGGAAGUGUGGGUCUAUUGUUCCAAUUCCGAGUCUAGGGUGGAAGAAUAGGGGACCUUACGGAGUUAAAGGAAAAGAAAGAAAAAAGAAGAGGGCAUUCGGAGAUCGGAAUUUUUGGGGUCGAAGAGCUAGCUUCAAGCUCCUUCAAAAGGUAUAAGACUUAGUUUCAUAGGGUUUGGGAGGAUUUUGCAAUUGUUGCUUUAAGUCAGUGUUUGUAUUAGUAAAUUGAAUUUUUUUUGCAAUGAAGUUAAGGCAAGUACUCUUGAUUGUUUGGUGAAAUUGGAAAAACAUUUGUAGUUGAAAUUUUAGAAAUGUCUAGAUGGUUGAGUAUGCCAAGUGCUUGCAAAAAUUUGUGUUAAUCUAAUGGUAUGGAUAGAAGAUAUUUGAUCAUUAGUAUAAAGAGGUAUCAGAAGUCAACAUAUUCGGGUCGUUUAGGGUUUCUGUAAUAUCUGGAGAUCUAUCAGCUGGAAUAAGGUGAAUUUUGACAUGGUAAGUCAAGGACUUAAAGGUGGAGCUACACGCAAGGUUUGAAUGAGAAUUAAUGGUUGAAAAAGGAGAAAUUGCAAGUCAAGGUUCGUCAUCAACUUUCUAGGUGGCCGUCAUGGAACAUCAGUGUGGAUUUACAACGUUUUCUUGUAAUUUGUAAGUUAGAUUGGAUUGAAACUUCUUGAGCAUUUAGAAGACUUGCAAAGACACUAGCGAUAGAAGUUUUAUAACAAUCGGACGGUCAGAUUGAGAAUUACACCUUGCCAAAGCUCGUUGUAUAGGAUUAAGGUUUAAAAAUUAAAAAAUUAAAAAUUAAAAAUAAAUAAAAUAAAAUAAAAGAUAAAAAAUAAAACAAAUAUAUAAUAAUAAUAAUAAUAAUAAUACUAAUAAAUAUAAAAUAAAAUAAAAUAAAAUAAAACUAACAAAUAAUAGAAGAAUUUGUACUUAUAAUAUCUCGAAGUUAUUAAAAAUAGUGUUUCCAAGCACUUUGUAUUGAGAGUAAGCUUUUAUAUUGAAAUCCGAAAUAGUUUGUAUUUAGAUGGUUGAAACCCACUAGACUACUCGAAUACUUGUAAAAUAUCAUUUUAUCUUCUAUAGCCAGACGCCCGGUGCGUUUUCAAACAAGAUAGCACGUAAUAUGAUAACUUCAGCUACAUUUAAUGAUCUCAACACUCCUCCUUGCUCAUCAUAAUAUUUACAUAAUAUAAAAUUUGUAUAGAAUUAUGAUCUAUACUUUUCUGUGAGCUUGCAAGAUCAACAAUUGUUGCCUCAUUAAAACCUUAUUUAAAAAAAUCUUAUUGUAUUUAAAGACAAAACCAUAGAUGAAGGAAAAAGAAUACAACAUCAUUUUUUUUUAAUUAUUUAAAGAGCUCAUUAACUUUCUUAUUCAAGAAAAGCAAGUCGCUGCAUACCAAUGCCAUAAGUGAGUCAACAAUGGUUGCACAAUGGAAGAACUUUGGUAAAGAGUUUAAUAAGGUUAUUUAUAGAUUUAUUUUUCUUAAUUAUAAGUGCUUGAUCAGUAAUCAAGUCAUGGGUAUAACUAAAAUACUUUGAAUCAAUAUGCUUUGUCCUGUCACCUUUAAUGAAACCAACUUGCAUCUGUGCAAUACAAGCACUAUUAUCUUCAUAUAAGAUAGUUGGAGAAUCAUCAUAUGAAAAUCCAUAGGUUGUUUGAAUGAAUUUAUAAAUUGAUCCCAACCAAAUAUAUUCUCGAGAUGCUUCAUGUAAGGCAAUAAUUUUUGCAUGAUUGAAUGAAGUUGCAGUUAUUGUUUGUUUCAUUGAUUACCAUGAUAUUACAGCUCCGUGUUUUAAAAAUACAUAUUGUCACGAAUUUAGAAUACUGACUAGAAAUCUAAACAAGAAGCUCAAGAAGAAUCGGCAAGAACUAGAUUAGUCAGAUGAGUACAAGAACAAUACUAGAGAAGUGAACUAGAGCUCCAAGAGGUAUGUUGUCGAGAUUGAGGAUCCCCUCAGUCUCAGCUCUUAUAUAUACUAUAAGCUAAAAAGCUUCUCAAGCAGCUUCCACAAGCUUAAAAACUUCUCAAGUAGCUUCUACAAACUACAAAGAUUUUCUAGAAUCUUCUAGAAUCUUCUACAACUUCAUAGUGUAUGUCCUUGACAUCACCUCCCCCCCUUUUAGCUUCGAGGUCUCCAAGAAGCAUUCUUAUUGCGAGUCAGUACUAACGUAAAAUUGAUAUUUUGUCAAAACAACCAUACUUUAUCUCCAAUUUUGAAAGUAAGUGCGUGAUUUUGAAAUUUGUUUGCGGACGCCUUGUAAGCUUCUUGGAGGAUUUACAAUUGAAGCUUUAACGUAGUUUGAAGCUCUAAUAGUUGUUUCACAAAUCCUUCAACUGUUGGGUUAUUAUUGGUUGACGGAUUCAACAAAUCAAGCUUCGGAUGAUACCCAUAGUUGGAAAAGAAUAGUGUUUGUUGAGUUGAUGCAUGAAAGGUGUUGUUAUAUGCAAACUUGGCUAACAAUAAAUAUGCAAUCCAAUCAUCUUGCUGAUAGUUGAUGCUGUUUUGUAAAUACUAUUCCAAAAUUUGAUUCACCGAUUUUGUUUGGCCGUUAGUUUGAAGGUAGAAAGCCAAAGAAAGCUUGAUAUCCACCUUUAAUAUCUCAAAGAAAGAUCUCCAAAACUUUGAUACGAAUUAGGUUCCUCGAUCCGACACGAUAUUAUCUGGUAAACCAUGAUAUCGAUAUAUAUACUAUCAAAGAAGAACCUUGCUGUAUCUUUGCUUGACGAUGUUUUCUUGCAAAGGACAAAGUGUGCCAUCUUUGUAAGUCGAUCUACCACAACAAAGAUGUUGUCAAAUGAAUUCGAUGGUGGCAGGUCCAUAAUGAAGUUGAUGGAAAUUGAAGACCAUGGCUGACGUGGAAUAGGCAAUGGCUGAAGAAGAUCAUAAAGACGAUGCCAGGGGUUCUUGAAUCUUGAAUAAAUAUCACUAGAGAGGACAAAAUCCUUGACAUCCUUCUACAUUUGGACCCACCAAAAAUCUUGAGAAAUAAGUUCUAAGGUCUUAUUGAAUCCAAAAUGUCCCGCAGUUGGAAAGUCGUAUCGAGAUUGGAGAACUCGGAGUUGCGUUGGUCUCUUUGGAAUAUACAACUGGUCCUCAAAAUAUAAAAGAUCUCCUUCCACCUUGAACUUGUCAUUAUUGACAUGUUGAGUGAUAUCAAGGGCUACAAAAUCUCUAAUAGUCGCAGUACGUACUUGGUUGAGGAAGUCAGCAUUAAUUGGCACUAUAAUAGAGCAAAGCCUGAAUUAUUUCGACUUCAACAAUGUUGUAUACUGUUGAUCAAACGCUGCUUCUCCAGCCUUUGGUGCUAGAUAUGAUCUCCUUGAUAGUGCAUCAAAUAAUCCUUGUUGCUUCCGAGGUUGAUAAGUAAUAACAAAGUCAAACCUAGAUAUCAACAUAUUCCAUCGAGCUUGAUAAUAAUUCAGAACCCAAGCUGACAUAAAGCAUUCUAAAUUCUUGUGAUCCAUAUAUACAGUCACCAGAUGCGCAACUCUUUUGAGAAAGUAAUGCCACUCUUGGAAAGAAUCCUUUAUCGCAAGAAGUUCUUUAUCGUGGAUCUCAUAGUUGAUCUUUGCAGCAGGAAACUUUCGAGAGUAGAACGCAACUAGAUGAAGCUUCUUGUCUAUGCCUAUCUAUAAAAGUAUAGCUCCCAUAGCAAAAUUUGAAGCAUCAAUCUCCAAAUAAAAGGCCUUUGCAAAGUUGUGAUUACUCGUUUUACUUAUUCUAAAUUAAUCUAAUGGGAAUAAACCCAUAUAGGGAGAUUCGAACACAGAGAAUGACUAGUUGCUUAAGUGUUCACAUUAGGGUCACAUAAUCAAUUACUUCCUGAAUGUAUCAUCUCUAUUUCCAAUAUCUAAACACACAAAGAAACUAUAAUCUCCCCCUUCACCUUAUCGAUCUCUUCCUUACAGCAAUUCAGUCAUACCAAUAAUUGCUAUUUCCACCAAUAUAUUCAUCCUCAUAAUCUCCAAUUGUAAUACUGCGCCCUCACAACUUUCAGCACACAAUUACUCUCAUU